AUCAUGGUUGUCAUCACCAACUUCUUUGGUAAAUAUGAGGCUGAUUGAUGUGCUAGACAACCGUUUACCACUUCCGACAAGUCAAUUAGUUGCACAAAAUCUUGUUCGCAUUGCUACUUUGGCAUUCGCCUGCCUAAAUCCGCAACCUAAGUCUCGACCAACGAUGAAAAAAGUGUGCGAAGAGUUUCUUUGUGGUCAAACAUCCUUGGGAGUUCCCCUUCGGAUGAUCUCUUUGUUACAACUUGUGAACUGUGAAAUGCAUAUUGGAGGCAAAACUGGAACUUGUAAUGUUUAAACUCCAUGUGGCUGUUCUUGAUUAGAUAUUGUUUAUCAUGCUUUGAUGAUUUGUUUGUAAACCAUAUCCUGUGUUAUAUAUGGUGGAAUGAAUUGCAAUGUUCAAUAAAUUUGUUUAUUUGAUUGUUUUACAUAACAUAAAUUCGACAAUUUGAUCCAAAUAUUCAAACACCAUCCUAAUAGCUUCCUUCAAUUUCGUGCUUCUUAGAUAAAUAAAAUAUAAGUAAAUUAAUGGUGAAUUAAAGCAACAAAAUGCAACCAAUACAUUAAGAAUUUACCUGAACUAACUAUAAUUCAUUAAACAAUCUCUCCACUUAUGUAAUGGAAGUGAGAUUUCACAGAUCUGGGCUAGGUAACAUCCAAACUUAAAAAGCAACCAAAGGGGUCAAAAUGGAGCCAGCACAAAUUCCAACAUUUGUUUUUUUCCAUAUCAAGCACAUUAAGAUUUAUUGCUUGGUAGAGUUAAAAAUUGAAAUGAAAGAAAAUAAACAUUUAAAAAUGCAUAAUUUUGAACUAAUAUACACCUCUCUCUCAUUUUCUUUCUUUUCAUCAUUCUAAUUUGGAAGUAUCGGUUUUUAUACAUUACGAUGGAAAAUGAUUCUUUCCUCUCACUUUUCUUCCAUAUCAAGCACAUUCAAAUUAAAAUAUUUAUUUAAUUUUUAUACAUCGUAAAAUGUACCAAUAGAAUUAGAACAUUAAUACACAUAUCAAUUUUAAAAAAAAGAUUAAUUUUUAAUAUUUUUAAGCUUCGUAUAAUUUAGAAAAAAAUUGUCUUGAAUGAAUCUAGACAUAGACUUAACUUGUAAAUGGUUUUUAUUAAUUUUUAAUUUUUUGAACUUUAUUUAAUAUUUUUAUAAUUUUGAAUAUUUUUUUACAAAUUUAUAAAAUUUUAAAAAAUAAAUUUUUUUAAAUAUUUUUUUAAUUUAAAAAAAUUUUAAGCUUCGAAACGAAUGAACUUGGUACUGCAACAUCAGCAACUAUUCCUUUUAAAAAUUAAAUAUUCCUUUUAAUUUUUAUUUUUUAAAAUAAAUUUUUUUAUUUUUGUUGACAUGGUAGUUGAAAUGGUAAUGGCACAUCAACAACUAUCACUGACAUGAAGCAUCAUGUUAGCGUCGUUAAUGAUUAUGUCAACAUUGCAAUGGUCAACAUUAUUCAAAGGGUCUAUUUGGUCAAUUUUGUUAGUUUAGUGGCUCAAUUGGGUGCAAAAAGUUCGUAGAGAUUUAAUUAAUUUUUUUGAAAAAGUUCGAGGACCAAAAAUAGCAUUAAACCCUUCUUUAACUAUUGAUAUAUCCUUUUUUAUGUAUAGGUCAACGGCCUAUUUGACCAAUUUCCUUUAUUUUAGGGAUACUGCAAACUACCAUCUUUCUAAUUUCCAUUGCCAGAACUAUGACAGUAGUAGAUCCAUCGCCUUUGGCGUCCGAAGCCAUAGCUAUGGUAGAAAGUGGGUGGUGGAGUAACUAUAGCAACAAUGCUUCAGAACGUUGCCAGUGGCCAGGUAUAUCAUGCAACACUGCUCGAAGCAUCAUCCAAAUUAACUUAUCUUAUGCAUUCCUUAUCGAGGUUGGAGAUAGAUUUGGGAAAUUGAAUUUCUCUUCGUUUCCAAAUCUUGUCCUUCUUGAUCUUAGUCAUCGUCAACUUAGUGGAAAAAUCCUGUAUCAGAGAGGUUAUCUAUCAGCAUUGAAGCACCUUGACCUUUCCUUUUGUGGUUUUUCCGGUGAGUUACCUCCUCCUCUAGGAAACCUAACCCAAUUAGAAUUCCUUGACAUUUCCUAUAAUUAUAACAUUAACGGCUCCAUCCCUCCACAACUAGUGAAUCUAGUGAACCUUGUCAGUUUAAAUUUGAGUAGAACCGGUCUUAGUGGAAACAUUCCACCGUUCCUUGGGCUUUUGACCGACCUUAGGCAUCUACUUUUGGAUAGGUAUCAGUUUGAUGAUGGUAAGAAUACAAUCCCCCAAAAUUUGUGGAAUUUGAGGGGUCUUGAGACUUUGAGCCUAAAUGGUUGUGGAAUUGUGGGUCCAAUCCCUUCUGCUUUGGGUCAGUUAAUAAAUCUCAAAUAUUUGGGUCUAUUGGAAAACAAAAUUAAUGGAUCUAUUCCAUCUGAAGUUGGAUUCUUAUCAAACUGAUUUUUGAUCUCUUCGACAACAGACUGGUUGGUUCAAUACCUUUUUCCUUGUACCCAUUAACUAAUAUGGAAAUUUUGUCCCUUGGUAAUAACCAGCUUGAAGGUUCCAUCCCUUGGAAUAUUGAAAAUUCGAAGAACAUCAAGAUUUUAAGCAUCAUUAAUAAUAGUUUUUCUGGUCGUAUCCCCCCAGCUUUGUGUCGUUUGACAAAUUUGGAAUAUAUUGACCUUGGCAAAAAUCAAAUCAGUGGUUUAAUCCCAUCUUGUUUUGGCAAUUUAUCCAAUUCGGAUACCUUAGAACUUGAUUCAAAUCUAUUAAAAGGUCCUAUCCCUGAAGAAAUUGGUAGGCUUUUUCACCUAUCAAGUUUAAACCUCAGCUUCAAGCAACUCUCAGGUAGUGUCCGUAUCUUGUUUGCCACUAAGCUUCGAAUUAUCAUGCUGGAAUUAACUGUAACAAGAUUUCUACCGAUCCAUUUGAAGGCAAUAGUCAUCUAUCACCCUAUAUGUGUCCUUCUCCAGUAACCAACAAAGCCAACAGCAGUACAAUUCUUUACUAUAUCAACAUAUUCCUCCCUAUUGCCAUCUUCUUCACAUUCUCCAUUUUGGGAUAUUUUCUAUUUUCACGAUUUAACCUCAAGAAUAACCGUGUCGGUGUACAACCGACGAAGAAUGGGGAUUUGUGUUCCAUAUGGAACUACGAUGGAAAGAUAGCAUACGAGGAUAUUGUUGCAGCAACAGAGGAUUUCGACUUUCGAUACUGUAUAGGAGUUGGUGGUGAUGGAAGUGUUUACAGAGCACAACUACCUUGUGGUAAAGUAGUUGCCUUGAAGAAACUUCAUCGUUUAGAAGCUGAAAAUCCAGCCUUUGACAAGAGCUUCAGGAAUGAGAUCAAGUUUCUAACAGAAAUACGACAUCGAAGCAUCGUAAAGCUUCAUGGGUUUUGUCUACACCGACGGUCCAUGUUUUUGAUCUAUGAGUACAUGGAAAGAGGGAGUUUGUUCUGCAACCUAAGAGAUGAAGUGGAAGCUAUGGAAAUGGAUUGGACAAAAAGAGUGGAGAUCAUCAAGGGCAUAGCGCAUGCUUUGUCUUACUUGCACUAUGAUUGCAGCCCUCCAAUAGUUCAUCGAGACAUAUCAAGUAACAAUGUUCUUUUAAACUCGAGCUUUGAGGCCUUUGUAGCUGACUUUGGGACUGCUAAAAUGUUGGAUCUUGAAUCAUCCAAUCAGACCAUUAUUGUGGGCACAUGUGGUUAUGUAGCUCCAGGUGAUUUUCUUUGCUUCGUUUGAAGACAUUUUCUUCCGAAUUUAUAAAAUUAUUUGAAAAUAUAAAUGAUUUUCUUUUUAUCUCGUUUUUGGUAUGCAGAACUUGCCUAUACGAUGGUUGUCAGCAAAAAAUGUGAUGUCUAUAGUUUUAAAGUGGUGGCACUGGAAACGUUAUGGGAGAGCAUCCUGAAGAAGAGUUAUCAUGGUUGUCAUCACCAACUUCUUUGGUAAAUACGAGGCUGAUUGAUGUGCUAGACGACUGUUUACCACUUCCGACAAGCCAAUUAGUUGCACAAAAUCUUGUUCGCAUUGCUACUUUGGUAUUCGCUUGCCUAAAUCCAUAACCCAAGUCUCAACCAACGAUGAAAGAAGUGUGCGAAGAGUUUCUUUGUGGCCAAACAUCCUUGAAAAUUCCCCUUCGAAUGAUCUCUUUGUUACAACUUGUGAACCGUGAAAUGCAUAUUAGAGGCAGAACUGAAACUUGUAAUGUUUAAACUCCAUGCACUUGUUCUUGAUUAGAUAUUGUUUAUAUAUUGUGUUCUAUAUGAUGGAAUGAAUGGCAAUGUUCAGUAAACUUGUUUAUUCGGUUGCUUUACAGAAGAAAAAUUCUACAAUUUGAUCUAAAUAUUCAGACACCAUCCUAAUAGCUUCCUUCCAUUUCGCCCUUCUUUCAAGCAUGAUAGACCAAGUCAAAGGAUGAAUCAAAUAUAAGUAAAUUAAUUGUGAAUUAAAGCAAAAAAUAAAAUAAAAUUUGAAUAAAUAAAAUGGAUUAAUUAAGUAUGCACAAAUUUAGAAAUGCACUGUUUCUUUCAUCAAUUUGCAUAAGGUUAAAUGGUUCAGAAGAAAGCUUUCUAAAAAAGAUUACACUAAAAAUGACCAAACCAUUUUGGAAAGAGGGAACGAUGCUUAGGGGUAAUCUUUUUUAAAGCAAAGGCCACUAUUGAAGAAACUUCAUUAAUGCUUAGGGGUAAGGUCUUUUAACUUUUUUACAUUAUGUAUAAUAAUUCAGUUUGAUUUAAUUUUUCAUUUUUCUACUAAUUUUAAAUUUAGGGUUUUAGAUUUAUUUUAAUAAAAUGAUCUUUAUUUUAUAGUUUUUGGAUAUUAUUCGAUAAAUUUUCAAAGUCUUAUAUAUAUAAGGUUUAGAAUUUCCAGUCCCCCGAUGAAAGGGUUAAAAAACUAAAGCACAAAGAAGUAUUUAUAAAGUGAAACUAUGAAGAAAACAGAGUAGUCACCAAGGAUAAUAAUAUAAUAUAAUAUAAUAAUCUCUUCCAACUUCAGCUUCGAUAUAAAUGAUCUUUCAUUCCACCAACAAGCCAGGUCUCUUGGGCUAUAUUACAUGAAAUGUCGUAGAAAUCAGGGUCAUAUUUCAUCACUACUAAGCUCUCUUUCACCUUCCUGUUUUCCUUUUCCAUUAAAGACCUAAUUUUUUUCUUUUUUCCUCGUCUUUCCUCUUGCACUCUUGUUUGUCUCCUUGAUCUUCCUCGUCCUCUCCGGCCCUAUUAGCUUCUUCUAACUAGCUCUUAGCAGGAGCGGAUCGACAACGCAGAAGUAAGAAAGCAUUUGCAGGUGGGAUUGCAGCAGCUUGAUCAUCAACAUGAUCGAGGGAGCAUUUACAGCAAUCACAAUUCCUAAUAUCAAUCUGCAACCUAACUGUCAGCUUAAAGGUCUAAAGUCAAAUGCCGAGUUGGUUAUAACAUGUAAUUAAGUAAUGAAACCUGCAUUUAUAAUUUAUUGAAGGAAUCAGGCUGCCACAAUAUCUAUAAAUGAUUAAGUUCAAGCUAUACAAAUUAUAUUAAAAAUAAGAUGAUCAUUACAAAAAAAUAAAAAGGAAGGCCCUUUUCACCAACAGUAAAAUGUAAUUAAGUAAACCAUGUAUUUUUCAGUUUCUUAAUCUUAGCCUGAACUAAAUAUUGCAUUGCAAAUGACAUAAUAUGACCCAUGUCAACAAUGUAAACAGACGCACAUUAAAAUUUAAAUUUAAAUCCAUAAAACUUUAUGUACUUAUAUUCAUGCAUUUAUACGAACACAAGAAAGAUAUACAAAUUUAUAAGAACAAGCACAGUGUCAAAUCAAUAUGGUUCCUUCCCUCAAUGCAAACAUCGUGUGACAUCAACCAAUAUAAAGAAGAUAACAAAAAGUAUGCCCUAGUUUCAGCACUCUUUUAAGGCAGUUACUAAAAGUUUCUUUCAACCAAGUUAAGAAGCAUAUCAAGAAAUCAAGUUAAGGACGACUUCUAAUGAAAGUUGACAAGAAAUUUUCCAGAGAUGAAUGCACUAUCCACAACCCGUUCUAACAAUUUGAUCUUCGAUCUUACCUUCUAUUAUAAGUGUGAGUAGCCUUUGUUUGUGGCAAUUUCUGAUUGGUUCCAGUAUUCAUUAAUAAGAAAGAUUUUCAUUUCUUAAAUAACGUAUACAUCCUGAACCCAUUCUAUAUCAACAACAACAAUAAUACACACGAUAGAGUGAUAGAGUACAAAUUUUCGUACAAGAUUUCACACAUACAAGAAAAACAAAAUAAGUGAAAUAAUUCCAUCUAAAAUGAAAUUAAUCAAAGAAAGCCAAAACUGAUGUAGUAGAACAGAUGACUGAGAAUGUAAAAUUUUCUUAUAUUAGUUCCAUUUUUUUUUUAAAAAAAAGAGAGAUUGCAAAGUAAAUUAAGAAAAUUCUGUAAUACCCGCAAAGGGUUUGUGAACAAACAAGUUAACUCAGAUAGAAAAAAAUUAGAUUGAGAAACCAAUUAUUCAACCAUGAAUGUAACACCCUAAACCCAGCAUGGACGAAAGUCUAAGUUUAGGAAGUUACCAUGUCUCACCUAUGCGCAGUCAUUCUUAAAGCAAAUCAUUCUUCAUAAUUAAGUUAUAAAAACAUCCAGUAUCCAUAACAUAAUCAAAUUUUAAAGGAUUGAAAUACGAAUUCUAGCUAUAGAUUCACACACAUAUAGAUAUAAUAUGUCCUACAAAUGACCAAGUCCCUCCGCGCGCCAGCCGCUUAAUCCUAUGGGUUCCCUGAAAUUCAUACGAAUAAUUAGAGUGUUGCAGUAAAGAGUAAAACAUAGUUGAGCUAUACUAUAUAAUGAUGUAUAUAUAUUUGAACGGCAUUGAGUGUUUAAGUACAGCUUGAUAUCAUCAUUUUAGUAACAUCCUAAUGCAAAUUCAAAUAUAUAUAAUAGACUGACAAGUCAACUUGAUACAGAUAUAGACAUAAAUCUCAUAGGCCAACCGAUACACACCAUCUCCAUGUUUACUUCCUCCCCCUUUACACACCAAUAGGUAUAUAGCACCUAUCCAUCCCUAUACACCUCAUAGUGUCGAUAUGACACGUUGCAAUGUUUAUAGUCUCAGUGCCAGAAUAACAAAAUAUACAGGUGGUUUGACCACCGAUUCAAAAUAGAACUCUUCCUCCACAUCACAAUCUCCUUACAUGUAGUUUCAAAACAAAUACUGAUCACAUACAUAACACAUUAGUUAAACAAUCAAUCUAUAAUAUACAAAUACUGAUCUUAGUAAUAACUAUUUCAUACCAAUAUGCAAAAUCACUUAACAACGAUGAUAAUUAGACUUAUUCAAUAAGUGAAGUUCAAAUGAUGGCUUAUCCCGCCUUACACGUCCACUACCGCACUAACAGAGGUUCAGAAUUCAAGAUCAUACACCCACAUGGCCUGGCACACUCCAGUGUGCCUUGCCUAUGUGUGUCACACGGCCUGAACACCGGCCCGUGUGUCUCACCCGAUUGCCUCUAAUAGAAACUUAGUGAAUUACACGGCUAGCACAUACGCCCGUGUGGCCACUUGUGUGACUCCAGCACGAACUCAGUGAGUUACACGGCCUAGAUACACACCCAUGUGUCUCACCCGUGUGACUCUUGUACUUUAUUACCCACACAUACGGCCAGGCACACGCCUGUGUAAGUUGCCCGUGUGUCUACAAUUCGAAAUCAGGGAGUUACAAGGCCAACCACACGGCUUCCCACAUGGUCGUAUGGCACACACGGCCAGGACACAUACCAAUGUGGCCACCCAUGUUCCGUUUACAAUCGUUGAUUCUGGCAAAGAAUAACGCAAAAAAGAGGGUUUUCGGUACCCACCUGUUACACGAUGUUGUAGAAGCACCACAAUACAAAAUCCAAGCCUAAAACAAGUUUCAAACUUCCCAUUUCAAUAAGAAAUUCAUAAAUGAAAUUAACAACAAUCAAUUUCCGUCGAAAUCUUCCACUCACUACACAAAAUGAAAGGAAGUUAUUACCGUGAAUUCCUCGUCCCCGUUUGGUUCCUAAAUAAGGUGAAAAGUGUUAGGCAUCUCUUGAGUCUCCCCUGUUAAACUCUCAACUACUGAAAGAAAUCAUUCUUUUCCAUAUGCUCAUAACAUUGAUUACAGGGGUAUUUAAUGCAUGCAGUACAUGCAACCUCAUCAGUAACUACUAACAGAAACCUUAACAACUUUCUAACUAAUAACAGAAACUGUUACUCCUAACAUGCCCCUUACUUAUCAACUCUUCUUCUCAUCAAAAACUUCUUGACUUGUAUCAGUAACACAAAGUAGAUCUCGAAACUUAGUGAAAAUUCCCACUGGCAAAGGUUUUGUCAAAACAUCGGCAAUUUGGUCUGAUCCCGAAACAUGGCCAACUUGAAGUACUCCAUUUGUAACUUUUUCCCUAACGAAGAACAAAUCCAUCUCUACGUGCUUGAAUUUUGAAUGUAAAACCGGGUUCCCUGCUACUGCAACAGCAGCUGAACUAUCACACCAUAUCAAUGCUUUCUUUGGAACUGGAACAUGCAACUUAGUUAGUAAUGAGCGAAUCCAAACCAAUUCUGCAGCGAGAUGAGCAACACUUCUAUAUUCUGCCUCUGCUGUUGACCUAGAGAUCACUUGCUGCUUCCUUGAGCUCCAGGAGAUCGGGUUCCCUCCAAGAAACACGCAAAAUCCUGAAGUGGACCGUCGAUCAUCUACAUCCGAACCCCAACUAGCAUCCGAGUAUCCUUCAAGCAAAAACUUCGACGAACGAACAAACUUCAACCCGUAAUUCAGUGUGCCUUGUAGAUAUCUUAAGAUUCUUUUCACAGCUUUGAAAUGCAAAUCCGAAGGUUUAUGCAUAAAUUGACAAACUUUGUUAACAGCAUAUGCUAUGUCGGGUCUAGUAAUUACCACAUAUUGUAAAGCACCAACGAUACUUCGAUAAUGACUUUCAUCUUCAACAGGACUCCCAGUAUUAGCAGAAAGAUGACCGGUGGUGACCAUUGGUGUAGGUAAACUAUUUGACUUCUCCAUAGAUGCACGUUGAAGAAGAUCCAGAAUGUAUUUUCUUUGUGUGAGAAGCAGCCCUUGUGUAGUGUACUUGACUUCAAUUCCAAGAAAGUAACUUAACUUCCCCAGAUCUUUUAACGAAAACCUGCCAUUUAACUGAGUAACGAAAUCGCCUAUGAACACAGCAUCAUUCCCAAUAAUGAUAAUGUCAUCAACAUAUAUCAACACAUAAAUCAACUGGGACUUGGUUUGAAAAAUGAACAGGGAAUUAUCGGCUUUUGAAACCUCAAACUUCAUGGACACCAAUAAUUCUCGCAACUUAUUGAACCACGCCCGUGGUGCUUGUUUGAGACCGUACAAGGCUUUUCGAAGCUUGCAAACUAGCUUCUCACCAUUUGCCCCUUGCUUUUCGAACCCUGGAGGCUGCACCAUGUAGAUAUCUUCACUCAACUCCCUAUUUAAAAAAGCAUUAUUUACGUCUACCUGUCGAAGUGGCCAGUUAGAUGACAUAGCUAAGGCAAGAACAACCCGAAUUGUAGUUGGCUUAACAACCAGGCUAAACGUUUCUUGAAAGUCAAUACCAGCUUCUUGCAAGUAACCCUUAACCACAAGCCUGCCCUUGUAUCGAGCAAUAGAUCCGUCUGCAUGCUUUUUCAGUUUAAAAAUCCAUUUACAACCAACAGCUCGUCGUCCUUCAGGUAGUGGCAUGAGAUCCCAGGUUUGGUUAGCUAGCAAAGCAUCAUAUUCCGCUCUAGCAGCGUCUGUCCACGCCGGGCUUUGAAACGCUUCACUUAUCGUCAAAGGCUCCUUUUUAGCCAAUACCGAAGCUAAAACUUUCGGUUUAAAAAUUCCAUUUUUUGAACGGGUCGGCAUGGGGUGCAUACUAACAUUAAAUGGAGCUUCAAUUUGACAUUCACUCUGUCCAUGCGUCAAAGAAGUUUCUGACCGACACUCAUUUGGACCACAUAAUGGAGAAACUUCUGUGGGAAGAGACGAGCUGGAACGAGAGGGAGUAUGAUGUGAUGGAACUGACGAACAUGCCAUUGGAGAUGUCCUAACCAAUCGUGUGUCUGCUUGUGUUAAACCUGUUUCAGAAAAAUUAUUACACACAAUAAUAGGGAGCAUGGUCUGCUGUUUACAAGAUUCCUUCAUGACAUUGUUGCGGAACUUUGAACAAAAACCGCCAUGAAACGGAAACCUUUCCUCAUCAAACCGAACGUGCCGAGAAAGAUAGACCCUACCAUCAUCAGCAAGACACCGAAACCCUUUUAUAUUCGGGGUACUCCCAAGAAAAACACAAACUUUUGACCUGUACUGUAGCUUGUAUUGCUGAAAAGGUCUCAAAUUAGGAUAGCAAGCACAGCCAAACACCCAAAGAGUAGUAUAGUCAGGUUUGUUACCAUGAAGUUUCUCAUACGGACUCAUUUGAUGUAAAAUUAGAGUAGGCAGUCUAUUUACUAAAUAAACAGCAUGUGCAAAAGCAUAAUACCAGAACUUCAAUGGUACACCAGAUUGAGCAAGAAGAGAUAAUCCCAUAUCAACAAUUUGUCUAUGCUUCCUCUCAGCAACUCCGUUUUGCUCGGAGGUGUAUGGACAAGUAACCCUAUGUUGAAUACCCAGACGAGAAAACUCUUUUGCCAAAACACAAUAUUCUCCCUCACCAUCUGUUUGUAACAUCUUGAUGGGACAACCAAAUUGAGUUUUUACCAUCUGAUGAAAAUUAGCAAAACAAGAAGCAACCUCAGAUUUAUUUUUAAGAAAGUAGAUCCAAGUAUAUCUACUGUACAUGUCAACAAAGGACACGUAAUAGCAAAACCCAUUGGAAGGCACAUGAGCUGGCCCCCAUAUAUCAGAAACUAAAGCUCAAAAGGAAUCUUGUACACUGUAGUGGAAGCAGGAAAAGGAAGCUUUUGAGCCUUGCCCAUCUGGCAGGCCGUACAUAUAGUAGGUAAACUAUUCUGUACAAACGAGACUUUACAAGAUUUUAAAACUUGAGACAAGACAUUAGAGCACGGAUGCCCAAGUCUGUUGUGCCAUAAAACUGCAGACGAAAGUUGGGCACUGUUUAUUGAGCACGGACUAGGCUUCGAAAGAAAACUAUGACUAUGGAGAGUAGACUUGGACAGCUGAAAAUGAUAGAGACCUUCAUGUAUGUGGCCCUCGAGAAGGAUCUUCCCUGUCUAAAUAUCCUUCACAAAACAGAGAAAAGGAUGAAACUAAAAAAAAAACACCGUUAUCUUUUGCAAAUUGUCCCACAGACAACAAAUUUUUGCACACUGUAGGAACAUGUAACACACGUUGAAGAUGAAGAAGUCUAGAGCCAGCCAGAAUAUUAGAAGACCCUAUAUUAGCUAUAGGUGCUGACUUACCAUUGCCCAUAACAACUUGACCUACACCUGUAUAAGGAGUUACUGACAUAAGAGCGGAUCUGUCAGGUGUAACAUGAUUUGUUGCACCGGAGUCUGGAUACCAGGUCUGAUCAGCUGAUGAUGAUGAUGGAGUUGACAGUCGAGAGCACGAACCAGAACAAUUAAGUACAGAAGAGCAUGCCGUGGAAGAAGGAGCAAACUCGUGCACUUGAUGAAAAUUGACUGAUGUGUUUUGUCCAAAAUAAUUCUCAUCAAAUCGAUGAUAACAAUUUUGUACAAUAUGACCAACCUUACCACAAAGUUGACACUGUGGUCUAGAACGAGACCAUCCUCGACCAGUGCCUCUAGUUCUGCCACGUAACCAACUGCGAUUCGAACCACGAAACCCUUGUUUUGAGUCCUGAGCAUAAGAAGGUUUCGAACUAUCUGCACCAUCUUGAUAUUUAGUUAAAUUUGCCUGCAAAGGAGUUUCUGACAAAACAGCCAACUGUCUAGCCUCAAAAUCAAGAAGCAUAUCAGUCAACAAAUCCAAUGAAACUGAAGCAGCAGACGCAAAAACACGAAUAGACUCAUAUUCAAUGGGAAGCCCAGAUAGAAUAACACUAACUUGCUCUUUUUCCGUAACAUCACUGCCAAUAGCUGUUAAGCUAUCAGUAAGAGUCUUGACCUUAUGCAAAUAUUCUUUAACGUUUAAACUACCUUUCUUGAUCGAGUAUAAUGCAUGACGCAUACUCGAGAUCUUAAUAUUCGACGUAGCGCCAAAUCUUCUUUCAAUGGUGUUCCAAAUAUCAAGACUCGUUUUAGCUGCAGUUAGAUGAACCAAAACUUCAUCCGUGACCGUCGAAACAAGCCAAGCAGCAAGAAACUUAUCCUGUUUCUUAUGCACAAGAAAGCAAGGAUUAUCAACAACACGACCAUCAGCCUUUACAAGAACAGCAGGAGGAACAGAAAUCGUGCCCAAAACAAAGCCUUCAAGCCCAUAUCCUUCAAGAAUCAGUAACAACUGAUGUUUCCACAGCAAGAAAUUAUGUUCUGCAAGUUUGACCGUAUCAUGCUUGGUAAAAUAUUGAACGGUUGAAGAACCACCACUACCAAGAUCCUGCGACUGGGCUGCUCCACCAAUAUUUGAAGAAUUAUGCGGAGUAUCUGCACUUGGUUCCAUGAAGAAAAAAAAAACAACAAAACUAUUUGAUUUAAAAAAUUUUGGCUCUUGAUACCAUGUUAAACUCUCAACUACUGAAAGAAAUCAUUCUUUUCCAUAUGCUCAUAACGUUGAUUACAGGGGUAUUUAAUGCAUGCAGUACAUGCAACCUCAUCAGUAACUACUAACAGAAACCUUAACAACUUUCUAACUAAUAACAAAAACUGUUACUCCUAACAUCCCCUAAUGUAUGAAAACACAAUGAACAAUAAAGUCAUCACACACUUCAGAAUUUUGAAGGUUUUUACCCAAUUCGCACAACAACACUUUAAAAUAGAAAUAAUUUACUCGAUCACCUUAAAACGUACCAGAGUAAGCAAUAUUACAACCCCAAUGAAGCAAUUAUGCAAGACGAACCAAACUAAAGAAGUUCUAGAGAAAUUGUAUACUAAACCGAAGCAAAAAUAAGAAAAAGAAAAAAAAUUGAAAAUGGAAGGAAAAAAAGAACGUCUAACUAUCACUAGAGGGAAGAAGUCUUUUAAAAUUUAGAUCAGUUUUAUGAGAAAGUGCAAAACAUAAAUCCUCGUUGCAUACAAUGAGACUCAAACACGGGACCAAACAUAAAGCAAAUGUUUAAUUAGUGAAUCAGCAGGCUCAUUCUUGACACAAAAUGAUAAUAGAAUUAAACUUAAAUCAGGAAUUCUAAAUCAAGGAUUUUAAUAAAGAAAUGAACAAGAUUUCAAAAUUCAUGUGACUCGGACCUCAUAUCUCAAGUAAACAAACAGAACAAACAACCACAGAAGCAGACACAUAUCCAUUAACACAUCCUAUAAAUAAAACUCAGAUUUUAGGGCGUUGCAUUGAAAGAACUGUAAAAUACAAUGAUUAGGAACAAAAACGAUUACCCUCUUUUUCUUUGUCGGCAACCACUUGAUUUUAAGUCUUUGAACAUAAAUUUGUCGGCAAAGAAGACAUACUUGGACCUAAAUCCAUCUUUUGUAUUUCUACGUUGAAUAAAAAAUCCAAUCAAUUGAUGAAACAAUCAUUUGAUUUCUAGUAUUUUGAUUCAAUAAAGAUAUAAUAGUUUUUUCAAUCAAAUGAAAAAGAAAACUAAAAAAAAAAAGAGGAGAUGAACGGUUUUUUCAGCUAAGGUUUAGGGUUUAAAAAUUUUAAUUAAUAAAUUUAUUUAAUUAAAAAUCUAUUCACAUCCCAUUUAGAAAUCCAAGUUGGAAAUUAAAAUCUAGUUGGACUGCCACGUAGGAUUACCGUGAGGGAGAUAACAGAACUUAAUGGAAGAGUGAUCACUUCAUAACAAUAUAAUAACAUAAGUGACUAAAAUGUAACCUGAGGCAAAUAAAAGUGAUUUUUUUUAUAGUUUACCCUUAUUUUUAUACUAAUUUUAAGUUUAGGGUUUUGGACUUAUUUUAAUAAAAUGAACUUUGUUUAAUGGUUUUUGGACAUUAUUCGGUAAGUUUUCAAAGUCUUUUAUAUAAGGCGUAAUAAUAAAUUUAACCCUUGAUGUUUAUAUCUUUUGUUAAUUUGGCUCUUAUUCUUUUUUUUUAAUUUGACUCUCAACCUUCUAAAAAGAGUCAAAUUUAACCAUUAACAUUUCAAAAAGAAUCGAAAUGAUUUUUUAAAUAAAAAUAUUAACUAAAAUGUUAUUUUUUUAAUAUGGAAGCCCACGUAGCAUUCCACAUGAACUUCAUAGUAUUUUUUGAACUUUUAUGAACUUUUUUGAAUUUUUUAAGUUUUUUUUCAACACUUUUAUAAUUUUUAAAUUAUCUAUAGAAGUGACAUAUAAGAUAAAUAAUGUCAUAUCAGUAUAAAGUACACAUGGAUUGACACGCAGAGUGUUACACCAACAUCACUAAAAAAUUAAUGUUUAUUUAGUAUUUUGUUAAAAAAAAGUUUUUUUGAUUCUUUUAGAAAGAUUAAUUUUAAGGGUCAAAUUGACUACAUAUAAUAUAAUUGUUGAGGAUUAAAUUUUUCAUUUUAUCUUUCUAUAAAUAUUUUCCCAAAAAAAUUAAAUUUUCAAGUACAUCACUUACAAAGUGUUUUUUUUAUAGAUUUUUUAAAUUUAUUUCACUAUUUAAAAAUAAAAUAUUUAUUUUACAUAAUAUAGAAUUAUAAUUAAUAAUAAAUUAAACAAGAAAUAAAAUUCGAUUCAAAUAAUCGUGAUUUUUUAACUUGUGCCAAAAAAUAAUCUAAACAUCAUGGUUGAAAUCAAAUUUUCAAUUUCUUAAUAUUUUUUCUUUCAAAACCAUAACAAUGAUAGCUAGUCAUGGUGGUCGUCCUUAGUUUUCUUUUUUUAAAAUAAUAAUAAUAAUAAUAAUAAUAAUAAUAAUAAUAAUAAUAAUAAUAAUAAUUGUAAUACUUAAAUUUUACCCGGCCCCAAAUAAAUAAAAUAAAUACAGAGCUUGAUUUGCAAACAGGCCAUAAGGGCCCAAAACCCAAAAUACAACAGGGGCCCAAAGCUCAAUGGCCCAAAUCAUAUGCAGAAACCCUAGGGUUUCUGAAGAAGACCUUUGCGCCGCAGCCGCAGCCAUCACCAAGCUGAAUCUUCACGAUCUUCACCUGCAAACACAAGAAAGGAAAGAAAAUCAAAUCAAAUCAAAUCGAAUCAAAUCAAGCAAAUUUCUUACUUCUAUUUGUUGUAUUUUCAUUCGGCUAUAUAAAGCCAUAGACAAUAUUGUAAAGGGGCCGGAUUUUUAAAAAUAAAAAAUACAAAUUACAACUUUCGCAAUAUCAAGGGCAAAAAAAUCGAAACAAAGGUUGAUACUUGCAAUUUUUAAUAAUUUUCUAUUGUUACAUAUAUAUUUUUUUAUUUACAUACGAAUAAAAUAGAGAAGAGAAGGAAAGAAACAACCUGCGUUUGGAGCCUAAACCGUCGUGUGCCUCCGAGGUAGCCGUCUCCGAGGAAAGACGGUCGGAAACCGAAAGGUUUCUCGGGUUUUUGAGGCAUCUCCGCUUUUAUUUUGAGGGUUUUGAGCCCGGAUCUAAGCUCAGGGGGUUAAGAAGGUUGAAAAGGAAAAUUUUUUACUUUUUCCGGCCACCGCGGACGGUGGUGCCGGCGCCGGAGAUCAGCGGCCGGCGUGGUGGCCGUUGACCGGCCGAUGACCAUCCGAUGAUCGGCCCAUGGCCGGAGGACAGAAAGGUUGAGAGAGUUUUUUUUAAAAAGUUUUUUUGUUUUUUUUAAAUGUUUUGAAAUGAAAUUUUUGUUUUAUUUUUGGCUUAAAUAGCCAAUUGAAAACGGCGCCGUUUUGAGGGGAGGAUCCGUGCGUCGACCCGACCCGGACCCAGGAUCACCGCGUUUUUAUGCGGAGGGGAAAAUUGCAUUUUUAGCCCCUCCGCCUUUUUAUGUUUUACAAUUAGGUUUAUUUAAUUUUUUUAAAUUAGCCCUUUAAUUCGUUUUCGAUUUCAAUCUAACCCUGCUUGAACGACACUGUUCUGAGGAGAAGGGUAAAUUGCCUUUCUAGCCCCUCUGAGUUAUCAGCGUGUUCAAUAGGAUCUUUCAAUUUCUAUUUAUUUACAGAUUUGUUUCAGAAUUUUUAUUUACAGUUCAAAUUAGCCUUUUUUUUUCUUUCAUUUUCUAUAUUUUCUAUUUUUUAUAUUCUUUUUUCAUAUUAAUUUGUUUUAAUAUAUAUAAUAUAUUUUUACAUACGCACAUUUAUUUUUGUAGAAUUGUAUAAUUAUUUGUUUAUUUAUUUAUUUAUAUGUAAUUAUUCUUUAUAACCUAUAUGUAUAUAUUUAUUUUAGUACAUAUAAAUAUGCAUAUAUAUUAAUAUUUUUAAUCAAUAUAUAUAUGAAUAUAUAUUUAUUUUUUUAAAAAAUGAAAAUAUAUAUUUUUUAUACACUUUAUAAUUUAUAUUUUUCCUUUUAUUUUCACAAAUGCAUCAUAUAUGUAUAAGUUUCGUAUCCCAAAAUUUAAGUUGUAUGUAUAUUUUUAAUCUUCAUAAUUUCUAUGUGUAUAUUAUAUGUUUUCUAAUUUUUAUUUAUUUUGAUUUCCUUGUUUGUGAUUUAAUUGUGUUUGUAUUUAAUAUUUUGCAUGACAUGGAUUAUUGCUUUAUAUUUAAUUUAUUAUUUGUUUAUAUUAUUUUUAUGCUAUUAAUGUAUUUAUUAUUGUUGAAUUUAUUAUUAUAGCAUUUGUAUGUAAUAGAACAUGACAUCAUCUUUUACUCGAUUUUAAAGUUACAAAAUUGAGAUAGUGCUUGGAUUGAGGAUUUUCAAGGAAAUUGAGCCCUAACGUAUUGAGUUCCGAUUUUCUUUGUUAAGUUUAAGAAUCGAGCAUUUCUCUUUAAUAAAAAUAAGAAUUCAUUAUUGGGAAUUCAACACGUUGUGUCCUAACGUAUUGGAUGUGAUGCAUUGAUUUCUCGAAAUGAAGAUUUUUCUAAAAAAUAAUAAAGGAAAUAUUUCGAGUUUGGGAUUUUAAAGAAAUCGUGCCCUAACGUAUUGGGUGUGAUUUCUUGAAUCUUGGAUAAGUGGAUGUUCUUUUGAAGUUUUAUCGCACUUGUAUUUUGGCCCAAUUCAUUUUGGAGGAAAUUAGAAUGUUGUGCCCUAACGCAUUGGGUGUGGCAUUUUUGCUUCUCUAAAUGGAGAAAGGUCUUAAUACGCAACAUUUUAAGUUUUUUUAAAGAUUAUAUUUUUUUAAAUUUUCGACCUUAAGACAUUAAUUGGUUAAUUAGGUACCAAUUUUGGGCGUUAUGAGGGUGCUAAUCCUUCCUCAUAUGUAACUGACUCCCGGACCUGUUUUUCUAAAAUUCGCAGACCAAAAUCAUUUUAGGUGACCCAAUCACACCUUAAUAAAAGAUUGGUGGCGACUCCCAAUUUUCAUUUUUUUAAAGUCGACAACCUAAAAUAAAAUUUUUUAUUUUUCAAAAAAAUGGUUUCGACAGCUUGGCGACUCCGCUGGGGACUUUUUUUUUAAAUAAGAGAGUCAAGCCACAAAGUUGAUUAAUUUUUGUCUUAUGGUCGAGAAAAUAUUUUUAAAAAACUCAUGACAUCCUUUUUGCAUUCAUUAUCUUCUUGUUUAAAUAUUGUUUGCAUUAUACAUUUCAUGAGUGGAACAAUUUUACCCUUUUCAGUGGGAGUGAGAAGCUAUGCCUUCGUGAGGUUUUCACCUCCGUAUAGGAUAGUGGAUCGCUUUCGGGAUACAUCGGUACUUAUGCCUUCGUGAGAUUUUCAUCUCCGUAUAGUCAUAGGGAAAAUGUGUCCCCCUGAACUGAACUCGGUCCAUAUGAGCCUAUAAUGGGUGAGGAUUGAGGAAUCUGCUGGUUCGGGUACCUUUACUUUAGAACCGAACCGCAUAUAAUGAGCCUUAGGAGCUUACCUUAGUUAGAACCGCACUAAACCCUGGUAGAUAUCCGAAUAGAUGUUUUAUUAUUUCUUGAUUGUUUUCUAUGUUUAUAUAUAUUACUGACCUUUUGUGUUUUAUUUUGAUUGCAUGACAUGGCAUUUCACUUCAUCAUAAAAGGCAUCAGUUUAGAUUUGGUUGCUAGAUAGAAAGCUUAACAUGGAAAAAGGGUUUCUUGAUAAAGUGGAGGACAAUGCGCCUGUUCGAACUUGGUCUGAAACAAUGCAACAGGAAAAGGGUGAUAGUCUGGCCGAUGGGUAUGUAUCAGAAUUAUGGGAUUUUACUCGCAUCAGUGUGGCUCAAAACAAUUUGCAGGAGUUGAAAGAAAUUUGGGAUCAGUGGAAUAAUGAGAUUAGGCAGUUAUUUUACGACAACUAUGGGGACUUGCCUUAUUUGCUUGAUGUGAAGGUAGACAAACACUUGUUUCGAGCCCUCGCCCAGUUUUGGAAUCCUGCUUACAGUUGCUUCACGUUUGGGAAUGUUGAUUUGGUACCUACGAUAGAGGAGUACGUGGCAUUAUUUUGAUGUUCAAAGUUCCAAGUAGAUAGGGUCUACUCGAGAGCGGUGAAUGUGCCAACCUUUUCAAAGAAGCUGAUAGGUAUAACAGGGAUGAGUGAGCAGUGGGUCGCUGCACGAGUUAAGCAAAAGGGGGAUAGCAAGUGCAUUCUUUGGAGGAGCUUGAAGGAUGCCAUUCUCACACACCCAGACAUAAGAAAGAGGUUAGAUAUUUUUGCCUUAAGUAUAUACGGCUUGGUUGUCUUCCCUAAGGCCUUGGGGCAUGUGGAUGAAGCAGUCACCGAUUUAUUUGAUCGACUUGAUAAAAGGGUUACAUCGAUUCCGACAAUUUUGGCAGAAACCUUCAGGUUAUUGAGUGCAUGCUGAAAGAUGGGUGAGGGUAGAUUUAUCGGAUGUGCGCAGCUUCUACUUGCAUAGUUUCACAGUCACUUUUGGAAGGUGGAUAAAGUUUCGUAUCGAGUUUUCUCUAAAAAUUAUUCACCACUAAAGGAGAUAAUUGCUACACCGAGGAGAGAUGACAUUUCUGAGGAAAAGUGGAUGGCUAUUCUUCAAAAUCUUCAAGAGGAAGAUGUUGAGUGGAGAGCUCCUUGGUUACUACCAGAUGAGAUCCUAUAUAGGUGUGGAGAUUUCAAUUGGGUACCUUUAUUGGGCAUUUGGGGUGCUGUCGGAUAUGCCCCAUUAUUGGUGCUAAGGCAAUAUAGGUUGAGACAGUUUAUACUUGCGACUCAAGGGAUAGCUGAUUGUGAAUUUUCAUAUAAAGAGGAUGGUUAUAGAAAGAAGAUUCAAGAAAUGUCUAAGGCGUGGAAAUAGACUCGCUAAAUGAAGAGGUUAGCUGUAGGGCAAAUGACGACUCCUGAGUAUUAUGGAUGGUGGGCUAGGAGGAUUAAUGAUAACACACCUAAGUUAAAUCAUGAGGAUGGCCAGUCAAUAGAAGAGCAUUUGCGAGUCAUCCCUUCGGAAUUGGAAAUUGUAAGAUAAGAUUUUGAGAGGAAGAAUGCGGAUUUGGAGAAAAGAAUAGAGCAAAUGGAGGUGGAAAAGACGAACUUGAGAUUGGACAUAGACGUUCAGAAGCUUGAGAAUGAGAGGUUGAAGAAAGAGAAAAACAAGGCUGAUGAGGAACUGGGCAGUCUAAAGACGGAUUAUAAAAAGUUGUGUUUGUCAAUAAGAACUGCUGGGCUGGGAAAGACAUCAGAACAGUGGUGAGCAGAAAUCCAAGAAGAAAAGGACAAGGCAGAUAGAUGGGAACAGAGAUUUCAAGAGAUGCAAAGGCGAAAUGAGGCCUUAGAAAAGAGUUUGUCAGAAAACCAGAAGGAAAAGGGCGAGUUAAAAGAAAAGGUGAUUGUGUUGGAAAGGUCUCUUCGUCAGUUUCGAAAUCGAAAUUCUACGAUAGAGUUGAAAGCAAGCUUGAGCAAGAUUGACGAAAUGAAGGGAAGAAUCGAAGAGCUAGAAACGGUGCUGCAAAAUUGUGAGAUUCAGAUCAAUCACUUGAAGGCAAAUGAAAGUCGAAAUAAUGAACAGCUUCACCACUUUCAGAGUCAAGUUAGAAGCAGAGAUCAUCUUAUCGAGGAAGCUGUGGUCCAGAUUCGAGAAGUAGCUGAUCAUAUGCAGACUUUAGCAGUACAGGCUGACAUGCUGAGUGUGAAGUAUGAAUUAGAAUCGGAUCGGGGGCAAGAAUUAGCUUUGUUACUUAGGAAGAUUAGAGUUCUGGGUACUAAGGCAAAGUCUUACUUGUAAUUCGCUUUAUGUAAAGAAAUUUGCUUUCUAGUAAGGUUUUCUUAUAUUGAAUUGAAUCAAAAUUGACGUCUUUUUGCAUUAAUGCAUUGCAUUACUUCAUAUGCAUUUAAAAAACAUUAAAAGAUUCUAAUUAAUUUAAGUCAUUCCUCAGUUAAUCUGGAAACCAAUCAACCUACCAAACAUCGCUACGGUACUCGAUCCAAAACUAGAGACAUGGACCAAAGGCUAGAACAGUUCCAGAAGGAAAUGCAAGAGCAAAUGAGUGAGUAACUAGAGAAAAUUCAACAAAAUAUGAUGGAAAAAAUAAUGGAAUCUCAGGGGAGUAUGAUGGCUAAGUUGACUUAGUUAUUGACUGGAGGAGUUGAUAAAGGGAAGGGCUUGGUGCUCAACAAUGAAGAAGGAGACAACGAGGAACCUGUUUAUUCCUCAGGACUUACUUCUCAACAAGCGGGGAUAUAUCCGCGCAAAUCCUCCGUUACUAUCAAGCCUCAUGACGGUUCUGAAACACCGAUAAACUUUCAAGUUAGAGACAAUCUGGCUAAUCCUGUUAUCCCUAACUUUGGCGAGACAAUCGAGAAAAUAAAUGGGGAAUUGCCGAAACAGCUCGAGGAAAAGUAUAAAUGGCUGGAGGAAAAACUUAGAGCAAUAGAAGGUACUGAGAGCUACCAUGGAAUUGAUGCUAGAGAAUUGAGCUUGGUUCCAGGAUUGAUACUUCAUCACAAAUUCAAAAUGUCAGAGUUCGAGAAGUACAACGGGACUAGUAGCCCCGAAGCCCAUAUUACUAUGUUCUGCAGAAGGAUGACUGGGCAUGUUAAUAAUGACCAGUUGCUGAUACAUUGCUUCCAGGACAGUCUCACAGGGGCUGCAUCCAAAUGAUACAAUCAACUGAGCCGUACUCAGAUUAAUUUAUGGAGAGAUCUAGCACAGGCAUUCUUAAAACAGUACAGCCAUGUGACUGACAUGGUACCUGAUAGAAUUACUCUGCAAAACAUGGAGAAGAAGCCUGGUGAAAGUUUCAGGCAGUACGCACAGAGAUGGAGGGAGGUUGCUGUCCAAGUUCAGCCAUCUCUUCUAGAAAGAGAGAUGACGAUGCUUUUCGUCAACACAUUGAAGGCACCAUUUAUUACACAUAUGUUAGGAAGCGCUACAAAAAGUUUUUCCGACAUAGUCAUGAAUGGAGAGAUGAUAGAAAACGCUAUCAGAAGUGGGAAAAUAGAUGCUGGAGAAAGUAGCAGAAGGGCAGCCUCAAGGAAGAAAGAGAACGAGGUUAAUAACACAAGUUCAUAUUUGAAGACAGUUACCGUGAAUCAGCUAGAAAAAGUGGCUGUUAAUCAGUAAGGAUCAUCAAAGCAGAGAUCUGACACAAGACAAAACACAAAGAAGCUUCAAUUUACGCCAAUCCCAAUGUCGUAUAGGGAGUUAUAUCAGAAUAUAUUCAAUGCACACGUGGUUGACCCUCAUCACUUAAAACCCCUGCAACCUCCAUAUCCCAAGUGGUACGAUGCGAAUGCACAGUGCGAUUAUCACGCAGGAAUUGUGGGGCAUUCUAUAGAACAUUGUACGACAUUCAAGAAGCUGGUAGAAAGGCUUAUAAGUAUGGGCGUAGUUAAAUUGGAUGAUUCGCCUAGUACAGAGAAUCCGUUACCUAAUCAUAAUGAUAAUGGAGUGAACAUGAUAGGUAGGAGCGUGGGUAGAAAGAUCAAGGAAGACAUAUUGGAGGUGAAUAUUCCUUUAAGGUGGGUCUAGAAAAAAAUGGUAGGAAGGGGAUUGAUCGUCUCAAGUUCAGAGAGAAGCUUUAAAAGGGUGGAAAAUUACUGUGAGUUCCAUCACGAGGAAGGACAUGAAAUCUAAGAAUGCGUAGAAUUCAGAGCUUUGGUUCAAGACCUGAUGGAUAACAAGGAGAUGGAAUUUUAUGAAGAAGUUAGGGAAGAGGGGAGCAUUUGCACAUCAGAGUCUUCGAAGGUUCCAAGAGUAGCGCAACCGGUUGUCAUCAUCUCGCGGCCCAAGAAGGAGAAGGUGAAAACACCAGUAAUACCAAGGAUUGUAAUAAAGAAGCCUGCAACCUUUCCUUACCAAGAUAGUAAGAAAGUUUCAUGGAGCUACGAGUGUAAUACAACUGUCCCAGGAAAAGAGACUACAAAGAGCCAGUAUGUGAGUACCAAUCCCGAACCUAUGAAAAGGGCCCUAAUAGGAGAGGAGAGAAGGAAGAUAGUUGAGCCAGUGAAGGAGGAAAAAGCUGUGGAAUUCCUCAAGCUCUUGAAGCACAGCGAGUAUAAUGUUGUUGAGCAGUUGCAUAAACAACCGACUCGCAUAUCUGCAUUGACCAUGCUCUUGAACUCUGAAGUACAUCGAAAUGUGUUGAUGAAGAUGCUAAAUGAGACCUAUGUGUCCAAGGAUAUUUCUGUCAGUAAGCUAGAUCGGCUGGUCAAUAAUAUUAGUGCUGAUAAUUUCAUAUUUUUCAAUGAUGAUGAGAUACCUCCUGGGGGCAUGGGAUCUACCAAAGCUUUGCAUAUUACUGUACGAUGCAAUGGGCAUAUUUUUCCAGGAGUAUUGAUUGACAAUUGAUCAGUUUUGAACGUACUGCCAUUAGUCACACUUAACAGGUUGCCCAUAGAUAGUUCACAUAUGAAAACGUGUCAAAAUAUAGUGAGGGCGUUUGACGGUAUAGAAAGGAAGGUUAUGGGAAGAAUUGAGAUACCCCUACUAAUUGGCCAAACCGUCUAUGAGGUAGAUUUUAUUGUGAUGGACAUCAAACCUUCCUAUAAUUGUUUAUUAGGAAGGCCAUGGAUCUAUUCGAUAGGGGCAGUACCGUCAUCAUUACAUCAGAUGUUGAAGAUAGUGUCAGAUGGUCGGCUAGUGACAAUAAAAGCUGAAGAGAAUAUAAUAUCGGCUGUAUCCAAUGAGACGCCAUACGUAGAAACCAAUGACGAGUCAGUAGAAUGCUCAUUUCGAUCCUUGGAGUUUGUAAAUGUGACAUUUAUUCCUGAAGGGAGUAAAAUUUUGGUGCCAAAAUUAUCCAAAACUACUGAGAUGGGUUUACAGUUGUUGGUGGGAAAAGGAGCUUUACCCGGAAGAGAGCUAGGGAGAUAUCUUCAAGGGAGGAUUGAGGUUCCAGUACUGAAAGAAAAGCAGGAUCACUUUGGCUUAGGAUACAAGCCAGAUAAGGGACAGAGAAAGAAAGAAAUAGAAAAAAGGCAGGAAAAGAGAAGAGCACGCUUAAAUGGGGAUGAAGCUAGGUGGGAGCCGAUGAUAAUUCCCCACAUAUCCAAAACUUUCAUAUCUGGAGGAGUUAUUCAUCAGGAGAGUAGGAAAUCAGUUGAGGAAAACAUUGAGGAGACGUUGGGAAAUAUGCACAUUAAUGCCAUCUAUGAGCAUGAGAAUGAAGAGAGAAGUUGGUUAGACAUUCGUCCUUAUGAGCCUGGGAGUGUUCUAGACAAUUGGACUGCGGAAGAAAUACCUAAAGUCUUUAGAACUGUCUCAGAGUAAUAUUCAGAACAAACUUGUUAUUUUAGCCUAGAAAUAACAAGAAUUCUUUUGUGAAAUAGGCUUAUGUUUAAAAAUCAUUAUUUUAAUAAAAUACAGCUUUGCAAUUGUUUCAAGUAAAUAUUCGUUAUUGUUUCGAGUAACUAUUCUUUCCUUCUUUCCAUACGCCUAAGUAUAUUCUUUCAUUACAUAAAUAAUUGUACAUAAAUUCAUAUAUUCUUUUGUAACCAUAAUAGGUCUCUGUGUAUCAAUGACGUGAAUGACGCUGCUACGAGCUCAGAGUGCCCUUUUGAACGAAAUGUGUGUUUAGAGGGAUCGCAGGAAUUUGAAGGUGAAGAAGAUAGUAGUUUAUCUUUGGACUUAUUAAGGAUGGUAGAACAAGAGGAAAAGCAAAUCCUACCUCACAAAGAAUCAGUAGAAAUUGUGAGCUUAGAGGAAGGAAAAGAGGUGAAAAUUGGAACUGAGAUUUCUGCAAAGACAAGACGAGACCUCAUUGAGCUACUCCAAAAAUUUAAAGAUGUCUUCGCAUGGUCCUAUCAAGAUAUGCCCGGAUUGAGUGCUAACAUUGUAGUGCAUCGCCUACCUAUAAAAGAGGGUUGCAAACCCGUUCAACAGAAGCUCAGAAGGAUGAGGCCUGAUAUUGUGCUCAAAAUAAAAGAGGAGGUUAAGAAACAGUUUGAUGCUGGUUUUUUACAGGAGGUCAAAUAUUCUGAGUGGUUAGCCAAUAUUGUCCCAGUCCCUAAAAAAGAUGGAAAAGUACGAAUGUGCGUCGAUUACAGGGAUUUAAACAAAGCUAGUCCAAAAGAUAAUUUUCCCUUGCCACAUAUUGAUACUUUGGUGGAUAAUACGGCAUGAUUUUCGCUAUUUUCUUUUAUGGAUGGGUUCUCAGGGUACAAUCAGAUAAAGAUGCAUCCGGAAGAUAUGGGAAAGACUACGUUCAUUACUUUAUGGGGAACGUUUUGCUAUAAGGUGAUGUCAUUCGGAUUGAAGAAUGCGGGAGCAACAUAUUAGAAAGCCAUGGUAGCCUUGUUCCAUGACAUGAUACACAAAGAAAUUGAGGUGUAUGUUGAUGAUAUGAUUGCCAAAUCCAGAACAGAGGAGGAACAUGUGCAGGUCCUGAAAAGAUUAUUAUUAAGAUUAAGGAAAUUUCAGCUCAAGCUUAAUCCGACAAAAUGCACUUUCGGAGCCAGGUCAGGGAAAUUGUUGGGCUUCAUAGUUAGUGAAAAAGGAAUUGAGAUUGAUCCGGAUAAAGUCAAGGCAAUACGAGAUUUAUUACCACCACGUACCCAGAAAGAAGUCUGGGGUUUCUUGGGAAGACUGAAUUACAUUGCUCGGUUCAUUUCACAAUUGACUGAGAAAUGUGAUCCCAUAUUUCGCCUUUUGAAGAAACAUAAUCCUGAUGUCUGGAAUGAAGAAUGUCAGAAGGCAUUCGAAAGGAUAAAGCAAUAUUUAUCCAAUACCCCAAUUCUAUCACCACCUAGCCCAAAUAGACCUUUGAUUUUGUAUUUGACGGUGUUCAACAACUCCAUGGGAUGUGUAAUGGGUCAACAUGAUGCUACAGGAAAGAAGGAAAAGGUGAUUUAUUAUCUCAGCAAGAAGUUCACUGAUUGUGAGAUGAGAUAUUCACCUAUCGAAAAAUCAUGUUGCGCCCUGAUUUGGACAACCAAGAGGUUGAGGCAAUACUAACUCUAUCAUACGACUUGGCUAAUCUCAAAAUUAGACCCUUUGAAGUAUAUGAUGGAAUCAACAGCAUUAAUGGAAGAAUGGCUAGAUGGCAAAUCCUGCUCUCUGAAUUUGAUAUCGUAUAUGUAAGUCAGAAGGCCGUCAAGGGGAAUGCGAUAGCAGAUUUCUUGGCUAGCAGAGCUCUGGAAGAUUAUGAGCCUCUGGAUUUUGAUUUCCCGAAUGAAGAUUUGAUGUAUGUGGCAAACGUUGAAAAGGAUCCCCAAGAAAAUCAUUCUUGGAAACUAAACUUUGACGGAGCGUCGAAUGCACUAGGCAAUGGGAUUGGGGCAGUCCUGGUGUCUCCGAAUGGAGAUUUUUAUCCUUUCACCAGUAAAUUAAACUUUGAUUGCACUAAUAACAUGGCUGAGUAUGAAGCUUGCAUCAUGGGUAUACGGGAAACAAUAGAACGGAAAAUCAAGACAUUAGAGGUGUACGGAGACUCAGCAUUGGUGAUAUACCAGCUAAGAGGGGAAUGGGAGACAAGAGAUCCUAAAUUGAUCCGUUACUGAAGUCUGGUUUUGGGAUUGAUUGAAGAGUUUGACAACAUUACCUUCUGUUAUUUCCCACGAGAAGAAAAUCAGAUGGCUGAUGCUCUUGCUACUUUAGUUUCCAUGAUUAAAGUGAAUUAGUUGGAGGACAUGAAGCCUAUUCAAAUUAGUAUUUAUGAGAUCCUAGCCCAUUGUUACAAUAUUGAGGAGGCAGAGAAUGAUAAUCAUCCCUGGUACCAAGAUAUAUUGCAAUAUGUGAAGAAUCGCGAAUAUCCUGAUCAGGCAACGGAGAAUGAUAAGAGGACAUUAAGGAGGCUAGCUAUUGACUAUGUCUUAGAUGGGGAGAUCCUAUACAAAAGGGGAAAGGAUCGAGUACUGUUGAGAUGCGUGGACGCUGUAGAGGCUAGGGAAAUUUUACAAGAAGUCCAUGAGGGUGUUUGUGGAACACACGCUAAUGGAUUCACCAUGGCUAGACAGGUUAUGAGAUUCGGAUAUUACUGGUCCACCAUGGAGAGAGAUUGCAUUAACCAUGCUAAGAAAUGCCAUAAAUGCCAAAUUUAUGGGGAUAAAAUGCACGCGCCUCCUUCUCCUCUUCAUGUUAUGACUUCUCCAUGGCCUUUCUCCAUGUGGGGUAUGGACGUCAUUGGACCGAUAUCACCAAAGGCUUCUAAUGGACAUCGUUUCGUUUUUGUGGUUAUUGACUACUUCACUAAGUGGGUAGAGACAGCCUCAUAUGCUAAUGUUAUGAAGUCAGCAGUCAGUAAGUUUUUGAAGAAGGAGAUCAUAUGUCGAUAUGGAAUGCCUGAAAGGAUAAUAUCUGACAAUGUGUUGAAUCUGAAUAAUAACACAAUAGCGGAAGUCUGCGAUCAGUUCAACAUUAGACACCAUAAUUCAUCACCAUAUCGCCCAAAAAUGAAUGGUGCAGUGGAAGCGGUAAAUAAAAAUAUUAAGAAAAUCAUGGCGAAAAUGGCUGAAACUUACAAGGAUUGGCAUGAGAAGUUACCUUUCGCUCUUCUUGCUUAUCAAACAUCUAUCAGGACUUCUACUGGGGCAACACCUUUUUCAUUGGUUUAUGGAAUGGAGGCAGUGUUACCCAUUGAGGUUGAAAUUCCUUCUCUUCGAGUUUUGGCCGAGUUAAAAUUGGAUGAGGCUGAAUGGAUCCAAUCUCGGUAUGAUCAACUGAACUUGAUUGAAGAGAAAAGAUUAAAAGCCAUUCGUCAUGGCCAAAUGUAUUAGAAGCGAAUGAUGUGGGCUUAUAAUAAGAAGGUUCGUCCCAGAAAAUUUCAUGAAGGGGAUUUAGUUCUGAAAAAGAUCAUCCCUUUACAAAAGGAUUUCAGAGGGAAAUGGAUGCCAAACUGGGAAGGACCUUAUGUUGUGAAAAAGGCUUUUUCUGGAGGUGCUUUGAUUUUGAGUGAAAUGGAUGGCAAGAAUUUUCCGAAUCCUGUAAAUUCAGAUUCAGUCAAGAAAUAUUUCACUUGAAAGGAGAGAGGAAUCAAAGUGAAAACCUGCAAAGGGCACUCUGAUUUCGCAAAAAAAAUAAAAAAAGAGGAGAGGCCAAGGUGAAAACCCGAAAAGGGCACCUUGAGACCAAAAGGGGUUUGAGUUGAAAACCUGAAAAGGGCGGCUCAAACAUUGUCAGAUUGGGACAUAUGGUGAUCUUACUUCACUUAAGACAACAAGAAUAUAGAUAUCUUGAGGCAUUGACAGAGUACUGUGGAUCCCCUAAACACAUGUAAAAUUCAGAAUGGUUCUUGGCUUGUACGGAAAAGUUCAAGCGGCGAUAUCCAGAGCACCUAGUCUUCAUAUUAUUUGUGCCAAGUUUGUUGGUUCUUGUAAAUACUUUAUUCUUUGCUGUUCUUGAAUAUUUUUUUCUUUUCAAGACAUUUACUAUCAAUAAAUUCCUGAAUUAAUUCAUCUCUUACUCAGUAUUUUUGAUCUUUGCGCAAGCAUGUCACAUUAAAAUAAUGAUUGAUGGACUAAUUAACUUUUACAAAAGAAGUUUGGUAUUACUCUGGGAAUUUCUAAAUAAUUUAGUAACCUAAAACAUGACUAUUUUGGAACAGUCCGAGGACAAAAGAUAAAGAGUAUAAGGAGGAAAAAGUUUAAUUAAGAAUGCUUUGGUGGUCUAAAAUAGCGAAUGAGACAGCAGGAGGUUUUGAUGGGGUAGGAAGAAGUUUCCUAUGGAUAGAAAGCUCCUCAUUUGGGCAUAAACAUUUGAUAGGACACCCUGAGAGUUGUGUAAACGAAUUUCGUAAUCUGUAUCCUUAAAAUAGGAGAAGAUUGAAGAAAAGCCAUAUACUCUUGGGUUACAGUGGGAGAACGAUGGUAUGAAUUUUUGCACCCUAAGGGAUUAAACUUUAAGGUUUAUAGUGGGGGCAACCUGGCUAAAUGUUUCUUCAGAAAGCCAGUCAAGUAAGAAGGCAUUGUAGCACAUCAGUCGCAAAGCUUUAAUAAACUUCGAGUAAUGACAACCUAAGCGGGAUCAUUCUCGGAAAAACAAAAUUUUGCAUUCAUGAAAACAUCAUUCAUACGUACCUAGUUAGGAGCAUUGGACUCAUUCUGAUCACGACAUCCUAAUCACUAGGCAUAUUUAGAUUCAUAAAAUGAAUUAUACAGGUCAUGUUCCCUAGAGAACAAACCGGUGAAACACCAAGCCUUGUCUCCCUGAGCAGCAGUGGAGAAGGUUGAAAGUUGUAGAUCUUAUCUCCCUAAACAGUAGUGGAGCAGAUCGAAGACGACGAAUCUUAUCUUUCCAAGAUAGUGGGAAGCAGAUUUAAGCUACCAAGCCUUGUCUCCCUGAGCAGCAGCGGAGAAGGUUGAAGAUUGUAGAUCUUAUCUCCCUAAGCAGUAGUGGAGCAGAUCAAAGAUGGCGAAUCUUAUCUUUCCAAGAUAGUGGGCAGCAGAUUUAAGCCACCAAGCCUUGUCUCCCUGAGCAGCAGCGGAGAAGGUUGAAGAUUGUAGAUCUUAUCUCCCUGAGCAAUAGUGGAGCAGAUCGAAGAUGGCGAAUCUUAUCUUUCCAAGAUAGUGGGAAGUAGAUUUAAGCCACCAUGCCUUGUCUCCCUGAGCAGCAGCGAAGAAGGUUGAAGAUUGUAGAUCUUAUCUCCCUAAGCAAUAGUGGAGCAGAUUAAAGAUGACGAAUCUUAUCUUUCCAAGAUAGUGGGAAGCAGAUUUAAGCCACCAAGCCUUGUCUCCCCCAGUAGCAGCGGAGAAGUUUGAAGAUUGUUGAUCUUAUCUCCCUAAGCAGUAGUGGAGCAGAUCGAAGAUAGCGAAUCUUAUCUUUCCAAGAUAGUGGGAAGUAGAUUUAAGCCACCAAGCCUUGUCUCCCUCAGUAGCAGCAGAGAAGUUCGAAGAUUGUUAAUCUUAUUUCCCUAAGCAGUAGUGGAGCAGAUCGAAGACGGUGUAUCUUAUCUUUCCAAGAUAGUGGGAAGCAGAUUUAAGCCACCAAGCCUUGUCUCCCUGAGCAGCAGCGGAGAAGGUUGAAGAUUGUAGAUCUUAUCUCCCUAAGCAGUAGUGGAGCAGAUCGAAGAUGGCGAAUCUUAUCUUUCCAAGAUAGUAGGAAGCAGAUUUAAGCCACCAAGCCUUGUCUCCCUCAGUAGCAGCGGAGAAGUUUGAAGAUUAUUGAUCUUAUAUCCCUGAGCAGUAGUGGAGCAGAUCGAAGACGGUGUAUCUUAUCUUUCCAAGAUAGUGGGAAGCAGAUUAAAGCCGAUAAGCCUAUCUCCCUAAAGUUGUAGUGGAGCGGAUUAAAACCUCAGAUUUUAUCUCUCUGAAGUUGCAGAGAGCAGAUCGCAUCUAGUCUUAUCUCCCUGAAGUUGCAGUGAGGUAGACUGAAGAGGGCACUAAUUCCUAUACUUUUGAAGAGUACCAAGUCUAGCACGACCGGGCAAAAUUUGGCACUUUUAGAGUCUUUGCUCCAUUCCCGUUACACGACUAUGAGCAAAGAGGGGCAGCUGUAAUACUUAAAUUUUACCCGGCCCCAAAUAAAUAAAAUAAAUACAAAGCUUGAUUUGCAAACAGGCCAUAAGGGCCCAAAACCCAAAAUACAACAGGGGCCCAAAGCUUAAUGGCCCAAAUCAUAUGCAGAAACCCUAGGGUUUCUGAAGAAGACCUGUGCGCCGCAGCCGCAGCCAUCACCAAGCCGAAUCUUCACGAUCUUCACCUACAAACACAAGAAAGGAAAGAAAAUCAAAUCAAAUCAAAUCGAAUCAAAUCAAGCAAAUUUCUUGCUUCUAUUUGUUGUAUUUUCAUUCGGCUAUAUAAAGCCAUAGACAAUAUUGUAAAGGGGCCGGAUUUUUAAAAAUCAAAAAUACAAAUUACAACUUUCGCAAUAUCAAGGGCAAAAAAAUCGAAACAAAGGUUGAUACUUGCAAUUUUUAAUCAUUUUCUAUUGUUACAUAUAUAUUUUUUUUAUUUACAUACGAAUAAAAUAGAGAAGAGAAGGAAAGAAACAACCUGCGUUUGGAGCCUAAACCGUCGUGUGCCUCCGAGGUAGCCGUCUCCGAGGAAAGACGGUCGGAAACCGAAAGGUUUCUCGGGUUUUUGAGGCAUCUCCGCUUUUAUUUUGAGGGUUUUGAGCCCGGAUCUAAGCUCAGGGGGUUAAGAAGGUUGAAAAGGAAAUUUUUUUUACUUUUUCCGGCCACCGCGGACGGUGGUGCCGGCGCUGGAGAUCGGCGGCCGACGUGGUGGCCGGUGACCGGCCGAUGACUGUCCGAUGAUCGGCCCAUGGCCGGAGGACAGAAAGGUGGAGAGAGUUUUUUUAAAAAGUAUUUUUGUUUUUUUUAAAAAAUGUUUUGAAAUGAAAUUUUUGUUUUAUUUUUGGCUUAAAUAGCCAAUUGAAAACGGCGCCGUUUUGAAGGGAGGAUCCGCGCGUCGACCCGACCCGGAUCCAGGAUCCGUGCGUUUUUAUGCGGAGGGGCAAAUUGCAUUUUUAGCCCCUCCGCCUUUUUAAUGUUUUACAAUUAGGUUUAUUUAAUUUUUUAAAUUAGCCCUUUAAUUCGUUUCCGAUUUCAAUCUAACCCUGCUUGAACGACGCCGUUCUGAGGAGAAGGGUAAAUUGCCUUUCCAGCCCCUCUGAGUUAUCAGCGUGUUCAAUAGGAUCUUUCAAUUUCUAUUUAUUUACAGAUUUGUUUCAGAAUUUUUAUUUACAGUUCAAAUUAGCCCUUUUUUUUCUUUCAUUUUCCUUUUUUUUUAUAUUCUUUUUUCAUAUUAAUUUGUUUUAAUAUAUAUAUAAUAUAUUUUUACAUACGCACAUUUAUUUUUGUAGAAUUGUAUAAUUAUUUGUUUAUUUAUUUAUUUAUAUGUAAUUAUUCUUUAUAACCUAUAUGUAUAUAUUUAUUUUAGUACAUAUAAAUAUGCAUAUAUAUUAAUAUUUUUAAUCAAUAUAUAUAUGAAUAUAUAUAUUUAUUUUUUUUAAAAAUGCAAAUAUAUAUUUUUUAUACACUUUAUAAUUUAUAUUUUUCCUUUUAUUUUCACAAAUGCAUCAUAAAUGUAUAAGUUUCGUAGCCCAAAAUUUAAGUUGUAUGUAUAUUUUUAAUCUUCAUAAUUUCUAUGUGUAUAUUAUAUGUUUUCUGAUUUUUAUUUAUUUUGAUUUCCUUUUUUGUGAUUUAAUUGUGUUUGUAUUUAAUAUUUUGCAUGACAUGGAUUAUUGCUUUAUAUUUAGUUUAUUAUUUGUUUAUAUUAUUUUUAUGCUAUUAAUGUAUUUAUUAUUGUUGAAUUUAUUAUUAUAGCAUUUGUAUGUAAUAGAACAUGACAUCAUCUUUUACUCGAUUUUAAAGUUACAAAAUUGAGAUAGUGCUUGAAUUGAGGAUUUUCAAGGAAAUUGAGCCCUAACGUAUUGGGUUCCGAUUUUCUUUGUUAAGUCUAAGAAUCGAGCAUUUCUCUUUAAUAAAAAUAAGAAUUCAUUAUUGGGAAUUCAACACGUUGUGUCCUAACGUAUUGGAUGUGAUGCAUUGAUUUCUCGAAAUGAAGUUUUUUCUAAAAAAUAAUAAAGGAAAUAUUUCGAGUUUGGGAUUUUAAAGAAAUCGUGCCCUAACGUAUUGGGUGUGAUUUCUUGAAUCUUGGAUAAGUGGAUGUUCUUUUGGAGUUUUAUCGCACUUGUAUUUUGGCCCAAUUCAUUUUGGAGGAAAUUAGAAUGUUGUGCCCUAACGCAUUGGGUGUGGCAUUUUUGCUUCUCUAAAUGGAGAAAGGUCUUAAUACGCAACAUUUUAAGUUUUUUUAAAGAUUAUAUUUUUUUAAAUUUUCGACCUUAAGACAUUAAUUGGUUAAUUAGGUACCAAUUUUGGGCGUUAUGAGGGUGCUAAUCCUUCCUCAUACGUAACUGACUCCCGGACCUGUUUUUCUAAAAUUCGCAGACCAAAAUCAUUUUAGGUGACCCAAUCACACCUUAAUAAAAGAUUGGUGGCGACUCCCAAUUUUCAUUUUUUUAAAGUCGACAACCUGAAAUAAAAAUUUUUAUUUUUCAAAAAAAUGGUUUCGACAACAACAACAACAACAACAACAACAAUAAUAAUAAUAAUAAUAAUAGGUUGAGCUCCUAAGCCUAAAAUGGGUCCAAACUCAAGUAACAUCAUAUUAUUCAAUAAAAAAAUUCAAAAUUUGAAUUAAAUAGUUUGAGUAAUUUGAGUUAAUCAAGUUAUUCGAGUCAACCUGAAUAAAAAAUCGGUUUAACUCGAAUAUAAAUUAUACAAUUCGAGUUAUCUGAAAAUCCAAAUAAUAAAAGGCAAAACUACGUCAUUUUGAUAAAUGUUUACCUUUUCUAAAGUUAAAAGUCAAAACCAUUAAGUUAAAAGGAAAAAUUACGUCGUUUCGAUAAAUUUUCACUCAUUAAGUUAAAAGACAAAACCAUUAAAUUGUUUAUGUAGUUAAAUAAUCUUAUCCUUCGUCUACUAGUUAAAUAAUCGGUCCAAAUAAACACAACAUUUAGUAUAAAUAAUAGGAUUCGUUAACUCAACUCGACUUGAUUUGAAAGUUUUUUACUCGAUUUGAUUCAAUUCAAAAAAAAAAUCAAAUUGAGUUCAGUUGCUAAAAUAGGAUUCGUCAACUCGACUAACUCAAUUUUUAACUCGAUUCGACUCGAUUCGAUCGAAUAUUCACCCUUAAUCACCAAUAAUAUUAACCUCAUUUAGCCAAAAAAGGCAACAUUCAUCCUACUAACCUAUUUUCCAUUGUAAUGAGGAAUUGGUUGUCAAAUAAUCAAAGGGAUGUUGUUAGAGAAAAAAAGUUGUCAUCCUAGUUAGGACGAUUGUUGAGAUGGUAGAGUUUAAAUUUGCCCAAUUGAUAUAUGAAUAAGUGGUCAAACAUGGAGAGAAGGUUCAUGCUAGAUACCCUCCACCUUUCCUUUUAUCUUCGUCUUACUAAACUAUAAUUAUAGUUUUUAUUGUUGUUAAUGCAUAUUCUAGACAAAGCAUUGGUGGUUAAUCUACUUAACUAUGUUCUAAGUUAAAUUUGUUGGAUUAAGGAUUGUGCUGAGGGGGGAGCUAUAGGUGUUUUAUUUAUUAGCUUCCUGAUUUGAUUGGUUUUGUUCAAAAAAUUGACAAAGGAGAAUAUUGUUGAGGCGAGUUUGUGACAUGGUUGGUUAAGUGCCAAUGGAAGUGGUCACUUCCACCAUCAUUGUGAUAGUUUCUUAUUUUCCAUUUUUAUAGUUGGCGAUACAAAUUCUUUGGGCUAUGAUUUAUGUCAAUGUUGUGGAAGUUUUUAAGCCCAUCAAUAAAGAUCGAUCCAUUUAGGGAAACAAAUUUAAGGAUUGGAUUGAAUUGCAUCUUGCAAAUCUAAUCCAGUGGAUUAAAGAUGUUGGAUUAGGACAAACUUUGAAGACUUAUCUCCAAUAGUCCAAUUUACAUUGGCCUUUAUUAUUAUAUUGUAUUUAUGCUAUUUUAGCUGCUAGGAAUAAGGGAUUGGAUUAUAGUUGAUCUUUAGUAUGUUAGCAAGUCUUGAACUUCUAUAUAUUUGAUAGACUUGAAUAGGUUUUGUAAUCAAGUAUUUGAGACCACUUAUUAGUUCAUAAAGGAAUAUUUUCUACUCUUUCAUAUUUCUAUCCUCCUAAAUUUCUUUCACUUUACCAAAAAUAAGGCCUUGAAAAAGGCCACGUUCAUCUACUUUGUGGUCGUUACAGUGCUGACACGGUCAUUAACAACAUUAACGUGGCGCUCUAUGUCAGCGAUAGUCAGCUACCAUGUUAGUAAAAAAAAAUUUUUAAAAAUUUAAAAGGAAUAUUUAAAUUUUUUUUACUAGAAUGAACCUAAACAGAUGGUUGUCCAAGUUCAUUCAUUUCAAAGCUUAAUUUUUUUUUAAAUUUAACAAAAAUUAAAGUUUUUUUUAUAAAUAUGCAAAACAUUAUUAAAAUUUAAUAAAAACAUUUAAAAAUUAAGUCCUUAAUGAAUAUGUCCAAAUUCAUUCAAGAUUAGUUUAAAAUAUAUUAAAAUUAGUUUUCUUUAAAAAUUGAUAUGUGUAUCAAUAUUUUUCUAUUGCUACCUUUUAGGAUGAAUAAAAAAUAAAAAAAUAUUUUAGAAAAUAUAUCAAUUUAAAUAAUUUAAAUUUUAUUAAUCAUUCGUCUAAGGAUUUUUUAAAUGUAUCAAUAUAUACAAUUAAAAUAGUGUAUCUAUUAUUUCAUUACAUGUGUAGCUUAAAAGGUUUAAAAAUUUGGAUAUAUUUGAACAUCUGAAAAAACUUUACACAAAUGAUUAAUAAAAUUUAUUUUUAUUUAUUUUCUAAAAUAUUUUUUUAAAUUUUUAUACAUUCUAAAAUGUACCAAUAGAAUUAGAACAUUGAUACACAUAUCAAUUUUUUAAAGAAUAUUAAUUUUUAAUAUUUUUUAAACUUUUUAAAAUUUAGAAAAAUUGUCUUGAAUGAAUUUGGACAUAUACUUAACUUGUAAAUGGUUUUUAUUAAUUUUUAAUUUUUUAAAUUUAUUUAAUAUUUUAUAAAUUUUAAUAAUAUUUUAAAAUUUUAUAAAAUAUAUUAUUUUUUAAAAAUAUUUUUUUAAUUUAAAAAAUUUUUAAGCUUCGAAACGAAUGAACUUGGUACUGCGACAUCAACGACUAUUCCUUUUUAAAAAAAGUAAAUAUUCCUUUUUAUUUUUUAUUUUUGUUGACAUGGCAGUUGACAUGGUAUUGCCACAUAAGCAACUAUAGCUAACAUGAAGCACCACUUAGCGUCGUUAAUGGCUACGUAAACAUUGUAACAGUCAAUAUUAGUCAAAGGGCCUAUUUAGCAAAUUUUGUUAGUUUAGGGGCUCAAUUGGGUGCAAAAAGUUUGCAGGGUCUUAAUUGAUUUUUUGAUAAAGUUCGAGGACCAAAAAUACCAUUAAACCCUUCUUUAACUAUUGAUAUAUAUUUUCAAAGUAUCGAUCAACAUUAGCCAAAGGGCUUAUUUGGUCAAUUUUGUUAGUUUAAGGGCUUAGUUGGGUGCAAAAAGUUCGCAGGGGCUUAAUUGAUUUUUUCGAAACAGUUCAACGAUCAGAAAUACCACUAAGCCCUACUUUAACUAUUGAUAUGUCUUUUUUAAUUAAUUUUACAUUAGCGCAUGGUACAGGCACACAAUGUACGAGGUGUUUCCACGUAUACAUGUAGAGUGUAUUUGAUACCACAGAGGAGUUAGAUGAAAAUGUGAUUAUUAAGGUAGUAAUGUCACCUUCUAGUAAUUGCAAAGAAGUAUAAUUUUCUAGAUGCAUUUGGCUAGUAGAGUGUAAUUAUAUUGUAGUUCUUUGUGCCUUGUUUAGUAAUAUAAAUUGUAAUUACACAUUUACAAAAUUUAUCAAUAAUACUUGAGAAAAAAAUUAAAACAAGUAAAAUAAAUUAAAAUCAAAUCAUUAGUCCAAAAAAGUAAUUGACAACACGAUUACUAAUGAAAAAAGAACAAGAAAAAUAAACAUCAUAUGCAAAUUUAUUAUUGCUCUAGCAUUCCAUGUUUGUUGGGUUAUUCUUUUUCUAACAUUUAACAUAUACUUCUUAUCAUCAUCUAUUAGUCCUUGACCAAUUUCUUCAUUGUUGAUACAAAGGUACAAAAAUAGAGGUGAGUACGGAGGAGGUAAGGCGGAGUGAGUGGUGGUUUUGUGGAGACUGAUUCACUUAAAAAGGCAGAGAGUCUGAAAGGAACAAGAGCACAAGAUGAUUGUUGAAAGAGGAGAUGGUUGCUUAGAGUAACUUUAAGGGUUGGAAAAUCGAUCCCUUCUUCAUCGUUGGAAAGAUAUUUAUAAGAAAGGUCCUCUUGUCCAUUAACAUGGUGUGGUAGGAUAAAUGCUUAGUCCCACCAAAUGUGUAAAUGAUAUUCAUGAACAUUAAGGAUAUUUAUGAUGGGGCCUAUUCUGUUAUUCAUUCGAUGUAACACCCUUUAACCUGAAUCUGUCGUCGGAUUAUGGUUACGAGGCAUUACCGAUCAAAACAAGGUUCAGAACUGUAAUUCAUUUUCAUUUAAUUCAUUUUUUUACCAAUUAUAACCGUACCUAAAUAAUUGACCAAUCAUUCAUAAAACAUAUUCAUUCUUUUCCAUCAUUUAAUCAUCAAAACGUUCCAUAUCAUAAUAAGCAUGCUAAACACAGUUCUAUCAUAUACACCAUUUCCAAGCCAAAUCACAUGGCUAGAAUUACAUUUCAAAAAUAUACUAAUAGUUCACUAGCCUAUACAUGACAUACACCAUAUAUAUAAAGCUUCAAAGGUACCAACAAAAUGAUCGAUAGUGCGAUGACGUUUCCUGACGAUCUCCAAUUCUGAGCUAACUUUGAUAAUCUAAAAAAAAAAAGUGGAAGAAUGCACAAAGUAAGCUGUGGUAGCUUAGUAAGCCGUAAGCAAAUAAAUCAUUGCAAUGAAAAUUAUAAUUCAAUUCUACUAAGUUGAAUUCAAACAUAUCCCAAACACAUAUCCAUAUUAUUACAUUAAAUGCUAAACUUACCUUUAUAUUUCAUAAACAUAAAAUUUCACACCUACCUGAAUCAUUUAGUUUAAAUUCACAUUCGGAUUUGUUAAGAACAUACAGAAAUCUUAUAAAAUUUGUACAAUGCCAUAUCCCGGAUAUGGUCUUACAUGUUAACGCAUAUAGAUGCCACUGUCCUAGACAGGGUCUUAUACGAAUCAUAUACGAUGCCAAUGUCCUAGACAUGGUCUUACACAAAAUCACACCUUUGAAGUACUAAUAUCAUGUCAUCUAUAUCAAAUACAUUUUCUAAGGUUCAUUCUAAGCUAUCGACUUCAUAAUUAAAUCAUUUCAUACACGAAACAUGUCAUCAAAUGCUCAAAUCAAUUCAGCAAUAUAUAUAUUCAUAUACGAAUAUAAUUCGACAAUGAAUAUUGAUAUACCAAGAAAUUUGGCAAUAUAUAACCAUAAACUAAUCAAAUUUGGUAAUGCAUAAUCAUAUACAAAUCAAAUUCGGUAUCCUAUAUUCAUAAACAAUUUAAUUUCAACAAUGUAUAACCAUAUACACAUUAUUUUCAGCAAUGUUCAACCAUAUACGAAUCAAUUCGGAAACUUAUAUCCAUUUACAAUUUAAUUUCAACAAUUUAUAAUCAUAUAAAAAUUAUUUUCAGCAAUUUUCAACCAUAUACAAAUCAUUUCAGCAACUUCUGUAGAUAUACAAUUCAAUUUCAACAAUAUAUAACUAUAAACAAUUCGAAUUCGACAAAAUAAAACAUUCAAAUUCGGCAAUGUAUAUCUAUAAUUAAUCAAAUUUGGCAAUGUAUAAAACAUUUAUAUUUAAUUUCAAAACAUUUAUUUACUUACGAACUUACCUCGUAUUCGGAAUUGACAAAUCCGAUCGAUUACUCGAUAACUUUUGACUUUCCUCGAUCUAACUCCGAUUUCUUUCUUUCUUGAUCUAAAUCAAUUCAAAUUUAACUUAUUUAAAAUACACAUUCAUUCAAUUUCAUCCAAAAACACAUAAAUGGGCAUUUUACACAUUAGCCCUUUAAGUUUCACAUUUAUUCAAUUUAGUCCCUUUUUCACAAAAUCACAAAUUACACAAAAUUUCAAUACACCUAUGCUUAGCCAAAUUCAUUAGCGGUCCCUAUAAGCCCACAACUUGCAUUUAUUUCACAUUUCAACCACUCUAUUUACACAUUUCACAAUUUAAUCCCUAAUUUACAUUUUCAUCAAAAAUCACUUUAUAAAACAUGAUAAUCUAACAUCAAAUAUUUAUUUUUCAUCAUCGAACAACAAAAAAAAUCAAGCUAUGAUCAAUGGCAACUCACAAAUUCAUCAACCAAUCCAAAAAUUAAAGCAUGGAGUAGCUAAAAUACAAAACAACGAUCUCAAAAACGUAAAAAUAAUCAAAAACCGAGUUCAAAACAUACCUAAAUCAAGAAUGCAAAGGGCCAAACCCUAAAAUGCUUCAAAUGGUCUUUCUUCUUUUGAUUUUCAGUGAGAAAAAUGAUAAAAUAAGCUUAAAUUUUGUUUUUUUUUAUUUAUUAUACAUUAAUAUAUAGUUUACCAUUUUACCCUUGGUUAUUAAACCAUUUUAAUCAUCAAGUAUAAGGCCAUUAAUGUCCAUUAACACUACCAAUGGUCUAAUAUCAUCAUAAGGACUUUUAAUUUAAUUAAUCAUAGCAAUUAAGCACUUUAAACAAAUAGAAUGCAACUUUUUGUAUUUUAUGCGAUUAAGUCCUUUCAUCAAAUUAACUAACCAAUCGGUAAAAUUAAAUCAUGAAAAUUUCACACAUACAUGCUAUCAUGCUAUAAACACAUAAAAUAAUAUUAAAAUAAUUUUACAACUUCAAAUUUAUGGUUCCAAAACUACUGUUCUGAUUUAGCUAAAAUCGGGCUGUUACAUUCGAUCAGUACAAGGUUGUUAUGCCCACGCAGAUCCUAAUGGCCUCAAGUAUGUGUUCACACCAAAAAAGUAGGUGCCUAACCUUUCUAAAGGGUUGGUGCUCCUUUGAUCUUGGUGGAUGGUCCAAUGAUAAUACUCUAAAAUGACAUACUUUUUAUGUGUUAAUUGCAUAUAUAUUUUGAGUAUGAUUAUACUAAAUUGUGGUUUUUAUGGUUUUUUAUCUUGUAGGGACCAAAUUGAAGGCAAAAGAAAAUUUGGGGGCAAAAGCAUGAAUUUAAAGAUAAAAUGGGCCAGCUUGCGAAAUAGGAACGAAGUGGUGCCAAAAAUACGAAAUGUGAAAUACUUGGGGGCAAAAAUUCAAAGAAGAGAUUUAUAAACAUAAGAGUCUAUUUAAAUAUGAAUUUUAUUAGGAUUAUUGUUAGAAUUAUCAUUUAGAUUUAAUUUCAGUUUUUUCUUUAUUUAUCUUUUAGAGUUUAAAUAGGAACAAACUAUGUUUUCUAUGUACUAUAAAUAGGGGAUGGAGUGACAUAACCGUCUCUCUAAAGCUCUUAGCUUUUGUUCCUUUUAUUAUUCAAUAAAAUUCCAUUUUAUUAAGCUUAUUUCUUUUUUCUCGAAAAGCAUGAGCCACUAAACUCAUCUAGUCAAAGCUUGUCGAGAUUCCCCAAAAAGGUUCAUGAGGCUUAUAACCCGCACUUAGCCUUCUCAACGAGUAUUCAUCGUUUCUCCGUAUUAUAAGACUGAUGCUUCCAUCCAUGUCCUUCCAAAAGUGAUCUUUCCAUCUUGUGUAAAGGCGACCACUUUGUAUGUUUUGGGAAGGUUGCACAGUCAGUUCGUUAGCUUACUGCGUCAGUGGUUUUCAAGCCCAAGAGACAAAAUGGCAUGGCAUUCACCAUUGAGAAAUGAUGAUCUAGUGUAAGACAGGCUCACAAAAGUGACGGUUUGCUAGAGUCAGGUUCCUCGAAAUCAGAAGUCUAAAAUGUAAAUGGAGCUGGUGGUCGUAGGCAUCCUCUUCCACUAUAACUGGCUUAUUCUGUCAUGAGAAGGAACACCUAAAAGCCUAGGAUUGAACCCAAGGAGGAUCGAGAUAACUGGAGGCUGGAGCUCCUCAAAUUGAAAAAUUCUUUCUCUCAAUUAUGUUUAUUUUUACAAUUUUAAUUUCAAUUUAUACAAUAUCAAUUCGUCCAUAAUUUUAAUUCUGUCUUAUUUUUUUUCAGGUACACCAUUUUUCUUGGGAACCAACUGUGCACGAGAUCUUAAGGAACAAGAAGUUGUACAAAUCUAGCCCCUGAGUAUUUGACCCUACUUCUUUUAUACUAUUCUUUUUGUUAUUUUAUAGGGAUAGGUUAUUUUUGGUGCUUCUAACGACACACAAAAUUUUGGCGCUGUUGCUGGGGACUGGUAAUGUACUAAUCUUGUUUCUUUUUCUUAUGACCAUAUUUGCUCCAAGAAUUCUUGUGUUUGAUUCAAAAAUAGAAAAGACUGGGAAAGCUAAUUGUAAGGAAAUAAAGCUACGUAAAAAGCAGUCAGAAGUGGUAGGGACUCAAAGUAACCCAUCGUCGGAAAUAGAAGUAGGCGCAUAUCAACCUAUGGCUCAAACGAUUCGACAAUUGGCCAAAGCUCUUGCAGGACAACCACCGUUACGCAUUGUGUAUCCUACUAUGAAUACUAAUUUUAAACUGAAGUCAAGAUUAAUCUAGUUACUGUUGACUUUUCACGGAUUACAAAAUGAAAAUCCACACAAACAUCUAAAAGAGUUUCAUAUGGUUUGUCUUAGUAUGAAACCUCAGGACGUAACUAAGGAUCAAAUAAAAUUGCGUGCUUUCCCUUUCUCCCUAGCAGAUUCUACUAGGGAAUGGUUGUUUUAUCUACCUCCUGGAUCUAUUACAACUUGGACUGAUCUUUCCUGUUUGUUUCUCAACAGGUUCUUCCCAGUAUUUUGUGUAGUUGAGUUAAGAAGGGAGACCGUUGGGAUAAGGCAAAAAGAUGUGAAGUCUCUUUAAGACUAUUGGGAGGUAUUCAAGAAAUUGUGUGCAAGUUGCCCACAACAUGGGAUAACAGAACAGUCUCUGCUCUGAUACUUCAAUAAGGGUUAAAGCCCAUAGAGAUGAAUAUGGUAGAUGUUGCCAGUGGAGGAGCAUUGGUCAACAUGACUCCCCAACAGAUAAGGGAAUUGAUAUCCACAAUGGCCGCAAAUACUCAGCAAUUCUGAGUCAAUCUUGAGCCUAUUAGAAGGGUUCACCAGCUAAGUAUUUCAGCUUUAGAAGAUAAAGUCAAUCGACUUACUAAUAUCAUGAAUUAUCUUUUUGCAGUAAAAAUAGGACCAACCUGACCAUGCAAAAUUUGUGCAACACCCGGACAUACAACAGACGCGUGUCCUAGCUUGUGUGAUGAUGCUAUGGCCCAUUUAGAUGCUGUGGGAAAUUUUUCUGGACCACCCCAAAGGCAAUAUGACCCUUAUUGUAAUACCUAUAACCCAGGGUAAAAAGAUCAUCCCAACUUGAGUUACAAAGCUAACCUACAGUACAACCAACCAUACCAAAACCUGAUUCCACAAUAGCUGUGAGAUUCAAGUACCUCUCUGGAAACCAUGGUCAAUAAAUUAGCAGCUAAUAUGCUUGAUUUUUAACAAAAAAUUGAGGCGUCUAUAAGAGAAUUGACCACAUCAAUUGAGAAAAUGAACUCACAAGGGAAGCUACCAUCACAAAUGGAACCUAAUCCAAGACAAUGCUCAAAUGCAAUGACGUUCUGAAGUGGAAAAGUACUGGAACCGAAUCCUGGCAAGAAUCUUAAUCAAUAUUCCACCUAGAAAAAGCAGGAGAACAAUGAACAGGUUCGAACGAAACCUCUAUUACCCAUAAUUCAACCUCCAUUUCCAGGAUGAUUGAACCAAUAUCGAAAAACUAAAGAGGACAAAGAUAUCCUCGAAACAUUCAGGAAUGUUGAGAUCAACAUACCAUUGUUAGAUGCCAUCAAACAAAUUCUGUGAUAUGCUAGGUUCCUUAAAGAGCUUUACACCAACAAGCAAAAAUUAAGUGGAAAUGAAAGAGUAAGCAUUGGUGAGAAUGUAUCUGCGGUGUUACAACGGAAUAUGCCAGCAAAAUACAAAGAUAAGGGCAUGUUUGCAAUACCAUGCAAAAUAGGCCACUUAGGAAUCAAAAAAGCCAUGUAGGAUUUAGGAACUUCAAUAAAUGUAAUGCCUUUUUCCAUUUAUGAAUCACUUAACGCGGGGGGUUUUUUGACAAAAAUAGGUGUUAUCAUUAAAUUAGUAGAUAGGUCUAUUUUGCAUCCCAAAGGAGUCCUUGAGGACGUAUUAGUGAAAGUCAACGGACUUAUCUUUCCUACAGACUUUUAUGUGAUAAAAAUGGAAGAGGAUAACGUUCUUGGGUCGUCAAACAUUUUGUUGGGGAGACCUUUCCUUAGUACUGCAAAUACUAAUAUUGACAUGUGUAGCGGAACCCUCACGAUGGAAUUUGACACGGAGAUCGUAAAGUUUAACAUUUUUGAGUCAUCUUGAACGUAAAUAGUGUUGACAUAAUUGACUCAUUAGUAGAAUAAACUUUUGAGUCACCUUAUAAAGAUAAACUUGAAACAUUGUUUGAUGAUAAUUUCUAUAACAGACCCGAUUUGCCCGGCCCGUUAUGCUAAACCAAACAAAGUAAAUAAUAACAAAAAAACCAAUGUCCAGACCAAUUACAAAAAAACAACCCAAUAGAAAAUAAAAACUCUGAUGGCCCAUUACAAACCCUAGCCCAAAGCUAACAGCAAAAAAAAAAAAAGAAAACCCUAGGUGUGCCGUACCUAGGUCCACCCCCAACAGCAGCCACGCGCGCCUCCGUACGGCCACCUCCGUACCUUCACAUUGGCUUCUGUACACAGUUGGCCCUUAUACCUGCAAAACAGACAUGUAAACACAGAGAAAAAAAGAAAUGGCAUUGUAUUUGGCUAUAAAAGCCACCAAAACCGAAUGUAAAUUUUUUACGAAGAAAAUCAAUAAAAAAUCAGUAUAUUUUCGAAGGUAGAUCUUGUUUGCUUUAUGAUUUCUUAUUUAUUUAUUUAUUUUUCUUAUUUUUUUAGAAGGAAACAGAAAAUAAAAAAGGGAAAGGGAUAAAAGAUGUACCUUUUGCACCAUCGUGGGGUCGAGGUCCAUCGAUUCUGAUGAAAAUCGGCAUUUUUUUGGUCUUGGAACCGAAAAGCCCAAAAAAAUGGGCCUUUUCAAUUUUUUGGCUACCGCGGACGGCGGCGCCGUCGCCAGCGACCGACGGCCACCGCGGUGGUCCGACGACCUAAGCUGGCCGAAUUUUGGAACCUGUGAGAGAGAGGAUGAGAGAAUUUCAAUUUUGGUCCGGCGACCAAUCAAUCCACGCGUCGACCUGACCUAAGGGAAGGAUCCGCGUGUUUUGCUUCGACGGGUUAUUUGCACAUUUAGCCCUUCCGUAGUUUUCAGUUGUUUUAAUCCAGUCCUUUUUAUAUUUUCUAAUUUAUAUUUCAAAUUUUAUUUCAUUUUCAAUGUAGUCCUUGCAAAACGGUGAGUUUUAAGAGUGCGGGAAAAUUUCCCAUAUGGCCUCUGUCCCUUACGCGCGUUUCAGUUUAGUCCUAUUUCGAUUUUACCUUUUAAAUUAUUACGAAUUUUGCCUCAAAUUUUAUUUGGAUUUCAAUAUAAUCCUUUAAUUAAUUUAUAUUUAUUGUUUGUCUAUUAAUCUAUUUAUUAUUCUUUAUUUUACUUUAAGUUAUUUUUAUUUUUAUAUCCACUAUUUUUCAUAUAUACCUAAGCUUUAAUAUUGCUUUUACAAAUUUACUUGUUUUAUUUCCUCAUUUUAAUAAUUCUUAAAUUUAUCCUCAACUACGUUUGUUUAUUUAUUAUCUUAUUUUUAUGAUAAUAAUAAUUAUAUUAUUAUUAUUACCAUAACCCUAAUUUCGCCCUGUUUUUAUAUCCUUCAAAUAUUUCAUAAAUUGUUUUCAUUAAGUAUUUAUUUGUAUAUUUAUUUAUUAAUUCCCUUUGUCCUUUUAAAUUUAGUAUUGCUUUGUUAUUUAUUGAUUGUUUUAUUGUUGUUAUUCAUUGAUAUUAUUUAUUUUAUUCUUUUUUGAUUGUUAAUAUUAGCAUUAAAAUGAUGUAUGUUAUGUUAUCAUUGUUGUUGUAUUUGCAACGAUUUGUUUAUUAGUACGAUCACAUUGAAGUCAUUCGUUAGCUUAAUAUUUUAUUCGUAUAUCAUUUUAAAUAUGACAUUAAUUUUCAUCCAAAUUCAAAAAAAGAGGAAGAAGAUUUUAAAAAAUAAGCAAUAUUUUGUAUUUUGGAAUACGAAAGAUCAUUCCCCAGCUUACGGGGUCUCGAUUUUUCGAUAAAUCUGAAUAUACAAACCAUUUUCAAAAAAUACAUUUUUAAAAUUAUCUCGGGAAUUAAAAAGGAUCGUGUUCCAACUUACGGAUAUGAUUUCUUUUCCAAAAUCGAUGUCGAAACCAUUUUUUAAAAAUAAAAAUAUAUGGUCGACUUUAAAAAAUGAAAAUGGGAGUCGUCAUCGAUCUUUUAUUGAAGUGUGAUCGGAUCACCUUAAAAAUGAUUUUGGUCUACGAGUUUCAGAAGAAAAAAGGGUUCGGCAGUUAGUUAUGUACGAGGAAGGAUUAGCACCCUCGUAACACCUAAAAUUGGUACCGAAUUGAUUACUUAAUGUCCUAGAGUCGGAUGUCAAAAAUUCGAAGAGAUUAAAAAAAUGAUUUCCCCUUUUUAUUAAUGCCAUAUUUUAAAUAAUACUUGGAUAAAUUUGAACGGGAGUAAAAAGGCUUCCUCACCUCGAGACAACAAAAUGUCUUAUCCUGUAAGUUAGAAUGCGACAUUUGAAUUCUCAAGAAUAAGCUAACCUCCAAAAAUUUUAUUGAAGUUUGGCGAUUUUGCAAAAUAAGAAGGGUUUAGCCAUUUUAGUUCGAUGAGAAAAUCGAAACCCCGUAAGUUAGAGUACAAUCCCUCGAACUUCCAAAGACGACAUGUUGCUUGCUUUUUAAUAAAUACAUGUUUUUGAAAAUAAAAGGUCAUUUCAAAUUAACAAGAAAACCGAGACCCCGUAAGUUAGGGUACGAUUUCUCGAAAUUUCAAAACGUAUUAUAAAACCGACUCGAAACGUACUUAGUUGAUUGGUUUGACAUAAAAUAAAACAAUUAAUAAUGAUCGUAUAUAUUGGAAUUUUGACUCAUGACACGAUGACGAGAAAUAAUAGCGUAAUUGUAUGCACGACAUGAUAGUACAUAGCAAAAAUAUAAAUAACAAUGUAAAUACAAAAGAGCAAAUUAAGAUAUAUACGUAUAUGGCAAUUGUCUCACAUCAUAUAUAUUGCUAACAUUCAAAGGUCGUUAAAAAGUCAAUUGAGGCACCAAACGAAUUAACACACAUGAAAUUGUCCAAGCAUGAAAUCAAAGAUGUAUUAUACAAAACAAUAUACAUGCUAACUUAUAUAAGUAUCACAUAUUAAAUGAAAAACAUAAUAAUAAUAUAAAUGAUAAUAUAUAUAAUAAUAUUAGCAAAAGGGUUGAAAUAAACCAAAUAUGUAAAGUAGGGUUUGAAAAUAAAUUAUAUAGAUUGAUUUUAAAAAAGCAUAUAAACAUAUUCAAAAGAAAACUAAAGGUUAACAGUUAUAAUAAUAUGAAAUCAAUAAUAUAUUCGUAGAAUAAAAAGUGAUUUAAUAAAAACCAUGUACAUAUAUAAUGAUAUAGUAUGAAAGUAUUAACAUAUAGAUUUAAAAAUAUAGGGAUAUAAAAGAGAAAUAAAAAAAAAUAUUAUAAAACCAUAAAAGGUGUACAAAUUAUAUCAAGUUAAUAAGCAAAUGACAAAAUAAUAAGUAUUAAAUGUAAGUACUAAAACUUGCAAAUUUAAAAUAAUAGUUUGUGAACACUUUUAAAUUAGGUUAAUAAUAAUUAAAAUAGUAACAAUGAUAAACUUAAAAUAAUAAUAAUGCAUGGUAAGCUUAAAAUAAUACAUGAAAAUAAACUAAAAAAAUAAAUUUAAAAUAAUAAUAUAUCAAAACCUAAAGAGUGUUAAUAAUAAACUUAAAAUAAUACUAACAUCAAAUAUUAAGAUGAUAUUAAACUUAAAAUUGAAUAUAUAUUAAAAACAGCAACAUAAUAAAUGGGUGAAUUAAAUCAAAAUGGUAAGGGUUAAAUUGAUUUUAAGACAAAAUUAGAGAGAAAAAACGGAAAUAAAAUAAAACGGAGGGCUAAAUUGUGACGCACGAAUAACAUGAGGACCGAAUGGGAAAUAUUCCCUUCCCCCAAAACGCGGCGUCUUUAUAAUGGACUAAAUUGAAAUGAAAAUGAAGCGUGUGGUUGGAUUUAAAGGAAACAAAAAGAUCGAUUUAAACUCAAUAUGAAAAACAGGGGACUAUUUGCGCAAAUUUCCCACGCGCUAUAAAACACGCGGAUUUGGGACCGGAUCGGGUCGGUGCACGGGUCGAUAACCAACACGGCGUCGUCUUGAGGCCACUGAGAAAGGCCUCAAACGGCGUCGUUUUGUGUGUUUAUUUAAACCAAACAAAUUAAAAAAAUAUUUACUUCAACCCUAAUUUCAAAACCAGAAGAGGCCCCCCCCCAUUUUCCUUUCCCAGGGUUUUGAACCCCACAGCCACCGCUCUCGUGCCUCCCUCACCUCCGAUCAAUGCUUGAAUAACACGGCUAUCGGAGGAACAAUGGCGCCGCCAACAAAAGGCAAAUCACUCUCACCUCUCUUUUUUAUUAUUAUUUAAAAAAAUAUGAAACAAAGAUAGAAAUCGAAAGAAGAAAACUCGAAAAAAAAUCACCUUCAAAUUGCUAUUUGAUUCUCUAUUUUUUUUAUUUUUCCAAUCCUUUUUACAGAUGUAAAAAUCGGCUUUUAUAGUCGAAUGAAAAUACAAAAAUUAUUCAUUUUUUCUUUUAUAUUUUCUCUACUAUUUGCUGUCACUAUUUUGUUUCUUUAUUGUUGUUGUUGUUUGUUUCUAUUGCAGGAGUGGCCGUACGAUGAUGUGGCACGACGCGUGGCUAACGCGCAGAGGGUGGUGCUGGAAGCGAUUAGGCACGUGGCGGCUUAGGCAGAUACAGCUUUAGGGUUUCUCUUUUUUUUGUAAUCGGGUUUUGGUUCGGCUAAUUGGGUUGAGUUUACGGGGCCCUGUUAAUUUUGCUGUAAUCUGGACAUGGACUUUAAUUAUGUAAAUGAAUUUUGAAUUUGGUUUUAUUUUUAUUGGGUUUUAAUCGGGCCUGGGCAAAACGGGCUAUUACAACCGAGAUAAUCAAAAUUUCUAAAAAUAAAAUUUGUGGUUUUUUAUUCUUGUUUCGGGAUUUAAGAUUAUAUCCCAACUCACGGGGUAUAAUUCUUUUUCUCAAUUGACAUCAAAUACGCCCUUUUUAAAUUCUUCUAGGUAAUUUUAACAAAAGGAUCGUAUUUUAAGUCUCUUCAAAAUAUUUUUAUAAAUUUGCAUAAAAACCAAUUUCUUAAAUCAUGUACUUGUGUUUGAAAAACUAUAAAGUUAUUAGUAAUUGUUUGUAAUUACUCUCGUAACCACCCCAACUCUCAACCCCUAACAAGAAUACUAUAUUUGAGGUGCCAUAAUUACAUUUAAUUAAUUUAGUGAACCCACCAAUUACAAUGGUUAUCCAAACAUAUCGCACCUUUGUAAUAGCAAGUAAUUAUACUCAAAUUUAAUAAUUACUAAAUGAUUUUUCAAACAUUACAAUAAUGAAUUUCUAACGUUUUGCGAAGAAAUUCUUUCCCUCCUUUUUAUUUAUUUACUACGAAGGAAGAUAUUUCAAAAUCACACUUUUGGGUCCGAAUUAAACUGAUUUUUUUUAUAAUUUCAAAACAAUUGCAAAGAAAAUUCAUGAAAUUAAGUUGUUUUCAAAUAAUUAAUUCACAUUGGAAUUUUCAAAUAAGAUGUCACAUUAAUAAUAUUUCAAUCAUUAAAAUAUUAUAUAACACAUUUUGCCAUACGAGAAAAUAUGAAAAUACUAGAAGUACUUAAUCCAGUUUAAUCUGCUCAAGGAAAUGACUCUAACACUGAGCUAAUUCAAUUAAGCCUCUGAAAUUAGCUUAACUUCAUAAAAUUUCUUUGCAAUUUUUUGGAUAUAUAUAUAUAUAUAUAAAAGUAAAAGAAAACAAGUUGAUUGGAUCAUAUUAUUUUCCGUGAGAAAUUAAAAUACCAGCCAAUAUGCAUGCAUUUAUUUUGUAGAAAAUUAAAACCAUAAAAAAACAAAAAGCAAAGAUUCAACUCUUUUAUUAUAGCAUUUGUUAGGGGUGAGCAAAAAUUGAUUCGAUUCAAAAAAAUUAAAAAAAUUUCAAAUUUCAAGUUAAUCGAAUAAAGUUAUUCAAGUUAUUAAAUACCCUUUUAGUCCUUUUCAAUUUUAAAAAUUGACAAACUGGUACAAAAAUUACAAAAUAAUCAAAAUAAUUUUUAAUUUUCAAAAUAUUUAUAAAAAUUCAAAAUUUUAUUUAUUUUUUAAAAAUUUAUACAAAUUUAAAAAUUAUAAAAAAAAAUUGUAAAGAAUAUAUAAUAAAAAAUUUAAAAAUUUUCUAAUAUAAUAAUUUUGGAACCUGAAUAAGUAAAUUAAUGAUUCAAGUUUAUAAUUCUAAAGUAUUUUUUUCUCUAAUUUUGCUUUGAAAGAGUUCUCAAAUAUAUAUGAUUUUAAAUUUGUAUACUCUAUCAUGAAAUUUGUUAUAUUGUAGCAAGAUUUUAACGUGAAAUGUUUAAUUUUUUAAUUUAACUCAAACAAUUUUACUUAAUUCGACUCGACUCGAAUUUCAUUUCACUCGACUCAAUUUGAAAAAAUUCCAAAUCAAGUUAGAUUGAUAAAAUGGGACUUGUUAACUCGAUUAGCUCGAAAUUAGUUUACUCGACCCAAAUAUUUUGCAUCAUUAAUACUAAUAACAACAUGAAAAUGAAUACUCAUCUUUUCUACUUACUAUGCAGGCACGAAAUGGAAAUUUCCAUGAGAAAAAAGUAUUGCGUAUGAAAAGGAAAGUUCCAUGACAUCGACUGAAGCAAUAACAACAAUUGGCCCUAAUAUUUACCACAUAAAUCUUUGACAUUUAUUAAAUUUUUUAAUUUAAUCCCUCUCAUUUUAAUUUCUAAAUUUUAUUAUCGUAUGUGACCCAUUAGGCUUCUUUGACAAUAAAUAUUCUUCAUUUCAAACUAGAAUCUAGCCAUUCAUCAUGACUCCAAAUUGGCGAAGUCAAAAUUAAUUUUUUUCGACAAAAACUUUCAUUUCUAGUUUUUAUGUGUAUUUAAAUCUUUCCAUCAUAUACCCCGAAUAAGCUAAAAGGCAUGACAUGGUGUCUGCUUUGCUCAUCAGGACUUAUAGUUAUACAAGUCAAGAGCAAAAUAGAUAUGUCAUACCAGACCUAAAACAUUCUACUUUAAGCACCUAUCAAUAUAAAUCCAUUUGGUGAUGAAUCAAAGUAUGACGGUCAACUUACAAGGAGAAUUUAUGUCUCAAGUCUAAGGAUUAUUUAUACUACCAAUACAGGGAGUAUUUCUAUAAAUACUAAGGUGUUUUUUACCCUUUAACCUUGUAUUAAUAUUUGUUUUGUUUCAAAAAAAAAUAUUUGUUACUUUUAUAAAAAAAUUGAAUUUUAAAUAAAUUUUCCGACCAAAUUAAUAUAAAUUAACUUGUAACAUUAAUUUAAUAAAAUAUAUUAAACAAGUGUAGAUAUAAUUUCAUUAAAAUAUGCGAAUAGAGAAAACAACAUUAAUUUGUCGGAAGUCCCCACUUUUUGGGUCUUAAUGGGUGAGAAUUUUCCUAGGUUAAAACCCAAGUCACGGAAUCGUCUUUGUCAAGUCUUGGGGCCAUAAUUAGGCACUUCGUACACUUGCACCAUGUACAAGGUGUUCCAAAUAUUUUACAAUAAAUGAAGUUCCAACGCUUUCUAAAUGAAAAUUUUGAUUCAACGACGACUGCAAUUUUGGAUUUAAAUCAUAUCAGACAUUUCACUUCUACAAUAAAUCACGAGAACGCCAAAAUUUAAUCUAGAGAAAUGGCUCUGUCGACACUAAAUUAAUUAAUUAAGCCUCUGAAAUUAACUUAAUUUCAUGAGUUUUCUUUAUAGGUAGAGAUGGACAUCCUAAUUUCAAUUAAAAAAUAACAAUUAAUCAUCUUGUUUUGGUAAGAAAGUAAAAUAGCAGCCAAGAUGCAUGCAUUUGUUUUGUGGAAAAUUAAAUUAAAACCAAGGAGUUAUCAUUAUCAACAAAUAUGGACCAUAAGAAGAUCCAUUCCUUUUAUUAUAUAUUAUUCAUACUAACAACAUAGAAUUUUCCAUGAAAAAGAAAGCACGACACAUGACGAAGUAAAUUCCAUUACAUCGACUGAAGCAAUGGUAACAACUGGCCCCUACAACAAUUGCAACAAGACCUUGACUCCUAUAAUCAGUUUCCAUAAAUUCUUCAGUUUGGAAACUAUAACAUAUAUGCUACAACUGAACCUUUAGCAAACAAUUAGCUGAGGUAGUUAAACAUGGCCUCAUCCUCAACCUUUUCCAUUAUUUUAGGGAUACUGCGGGCUACCAUCUUUCUAAUUUCCAUUGCUAGAACUGUGACAGUAGCAGAUCCAUCGCCUUUGGCGUCCGAAGCCAUAGCUAUGGUAGAAAGUGGGUGGUGGAGUAACUAUAGCAACAAUGCUUCAGAACGUUGCCAUUGGCCGGGUAUAUCAUGCAACACUGCUGGAAGCAUCAUCCAAAUUGACAUUUCUGAUGCGCCCAAUAUUGAGGUUGGAGAUAGAUUUGGGAAAUUGAAUUUCUCUUCAUUUCCAAAUCUUGUCCUUCUUGAUCUUAGUGAUCGCCAACUUGGUGGAAAAAUCCCGCAUCAGAUAGGUAAUCUAUCAGCAUUGAAGCACCUUGACUUGUCCAAUUGUGGUUUAUCCGGUGAGUUACUUCCUUCUCUAGGAAACCUAACCCAAUUAGAGUACCUUGACAUUUCCUAUAAUUAUAAUAUUAACGGUUCCAUCCCUCCACAACUAGGGAAUCUAGUGAACCUUGUCAGUUUAAAUUUGAGUUGGACCAGUCUUAGUGGAAACAUUCCACCGUUUCUUGGGCUAUUGACCAACCUUAGGCAUCUACUUUUGGAUGGGUAUCAAUUUGACGAUGGUAAUAAUACAAUUCCUCAAAAUUUGUGGAAUUUGAGGGGUCUUGAGACUUUAAGCCUAAGUCGUUGUGGAAUUGUUGGUCCAAUCCCUUCUGCUUUGGGUCAGUUAUUAAAUCUCAAAUAUUUACGUCUAGGGGGAAACAAAAUUAAUGGCUCUAUUCCAUCUGAAGUUGGAUUCUUAUCUAACUUGACUUAUUUUGAUGUCUACGACAACAGACUGGUUGGUUCAAUACCUUUUUCCUGGUACCAAUUAACCAAUUUGGAAACUUUGUUCCUUGAUGGUAAUCAACUUGAAGGUUCCAUCCCUCAUAAUAUUGAAAAUUUGAAGAACAUCAAGAUUUUAAGCAUCGCUAAUAAUAGUUUUACUGGUCAUAUCCCCCUAGCUUUGUGUCGUUUGACAAAUUUGAAAUAUAUUGACCUUGGCAAAAAUCAAUUCAGUGGUUCAAUCCCAUCUUGUAUUGGCAAUUUAUCCAAUUUGUAUACCUUAGAACUUGAUUCAAAUCUAUUAAAAGGUCCUAUCCCUGAAGAAAUUGGUAGGCUUUUCCACCUAUCAAAUUUAAACCUCAGCUUCAACCAAUUCUCAGGUAGUGUCCCUAUCUUGUCUGCCACUAAGCUUCGUAUUAUCGAUGCUGGAAAUAACUGUAACAAGAUUUCUCCCGAUCCAUUUGAAGGAAAUAGUCAUCUAUCACCCUAUAUGUGUCCUUCUCCAGUAACCAACAAAGCCAACAGCAGUACAAUUCUUUACUAUAUCAAAAUAUUCCUCCCUAUUGCCAUCUUCUUCACAUUCUCCAUUUUGGGAUAUUUUCUAUUUUCACGAUUUAAGCUCAAGAAUAACCGUGUCCGUGUACAACCGACGAAGAAUGGGGAUUUGUGUUCCAUAUGGAACUAUGAUGGAAAGAUAGCAUACGAGGAUAUUGUUGCAGCAACAGAGGAUUUCGACUUUCGAUACUGUAUAGGAGUUGGUGGUUAUGGAAGUGUUUACAGAGCACAACUACCUUGUGGUAAAGUAGUUGCCUUGAAGAAACUUCAUCGUUUAGAAGCUGAAAAUCCAGCCUUUGACAAGAGCUUCAGGAAUGAGAUCAAGUUUCUAACAGAAAUACGACAUCGAAGCAUCGUAAAGCUUCAUGGGUUUUGUCUACACCGACGGUCCAUGUUUUUGAUCUAUGAGUACAUGGAAAAAGGGAGUUUGUUCUGCAACCUAAGAGAUGAAGUGGAAGCUGUGGAAAUGGAUUGGACAAAAAGAGUGGAGAUCAUCAAGGGCAUAGCGCAUGCUUUGUCUUACUUGCACUAUGAUUGCAGCCCUCCAAUAGUUCAUCGAGACAUAUCAAGUAACAAUGUUCUUUUAAACUCGAGCUUUGAGGCCUUUGUAGCUGACUUUGGGACUGCUAAAAUGUUGGAUCUUGAAUCAUCCAAUCAGACCAUGAUUGUGGGCACAUGUGGUUAUGUAGCUCCAGGUGAUGACAUUUUCUUCGGAAAUUAUAAAAUUAAUUGAACAUAUAAAUGAUUUUCUUUUUUAUCUGGUUUUUCGUACGCAGAACUUGCAUAUACGUUGGUUGUCACCGAAAAAUGUGAUGUCUAUAGUUUUGGAGUGGUGGCACUGGAAACGUUAAUGGGAAAGAAUCCCGAAGAAUUGUUAUCAUGGUUGUCAUCACCAACUUCUUUGGUAAAUAUGAGGCUGAUUGAUGUGCUAGACAACCGUUUACCACUUCCGACAAGUCAAUUAGUUGCACAAAAUCUUGUUCGCAUUGCUAGUUUGGCAUUCGCCUGCCUAAAUCCACAACCUAAGUCUCGACCAACGAUAAAAGAAGUGUGCGAAGAGUUUCUUUGUGGCCAAACAUCCUUGGGAGUUCCCCUUCGGAUGAUCUCUUUGUUACAACUUGU
RNAcentral lists this long non-coding RNA (52433 nucleotides) under Gossypium barbadense (sea-island cotton). RNAcentral describes it as "long non-coding RNA (GBAR_LNC018988)". Lineage: Eukaryota; Viridiplantae; Streptophyta; Magnoliopsida; Malvales; Malvaceae. The record is from RNAcentral.